GGAAGGCAGGGCUGCCGGAGUGGGUGAGAUACACACAGGCAGAUGCUGAGGAGAACAGGAUUGUAAAGCUGCAUUAUGUAGCGACGAGUGUGCUGCGAGAAAGGGAGAGAGAGAGAGAGAGAGAGAGAUCAAGGAGGAGGAGGAGAGAGAGACAGCAAACCUUGCCAGGUAAACAUCUCUGUUUCCUAUUAACAAUCCAUCCCUCCCGCAUUGAUAAGGAAUGAGUGGAUCCCUGCAGAGAGAAGCUGAAUAUUGCUGGUAAUCUGUGCUGUAUACUGACUGGAUGCACAGAACCUGCCAGGGUUAUUGAAGCACCUUCCUGCUGCUCUGGAUGGACUUCUUGGAAGGUCUGAAUAUGUGAAGAUCCAGGGCAGGGAUACGUUGUAGCUGUGGUACAGGGCAGGGAUACGUUGUAGCUGUGGUACAGGGCAGGGAUACAUUGUUGCUGUGUAUAUUCCUAUGUCUAUGGAAGAACCCAUCUCUCUCCAGGGUUGGAUUACAAGGAUGGCUUGUGUUUGGCAAGAGAAAGAACAUCAAAUGGUCUUUUAGGUGGCUUUUGCUUUGGAAUGUCAUCUCCUGGGUGGUUCUUUAAAAAAUUGAUACCCUACAACCUCCGCCAUUGGAUACCCAGCCUGGUUGACAACUUACCCACGGCUGGUGGAGACGGCGGACCCACCAGGUCUUGGCUUUGGUUUGCUCUGGGUUUUCCGGGUUUUUGGGGCGUUGGAAAGAGUCCCGGACAUUUAGGAAAGCGGGAUUUAACACCGUAAGUUUGUUUCUAAAAAACUGAAAUAAAAGGAAGAAAAAAUUUAAAAAGGAGGAUUGUGGGAAAGAAGAUGGGAAUUUGGGGUUCUGACUGAAAUGCUAAACAAACUCCUCUCCAGAUUAAUCGAAGGAGGCUGUCGUUCAACCAAGGAUCUUUACUGUCUAUGAAGGGGGCAGGUAAUGCUUGUUUUCAACUCUUUUGUAUGAAAACGCUUUGUGCUUGUACUGGAGGUCAUAGUCCUCCUAAUGUUCAAAGAGAUAAAUUGAGAUGGGGAGGUUAAUAAAUCCAAUGUUCUGUAGAAAAGGAGUGGUGGCCACAUGGCUCAGCCACCCAAGGCAGAUGAUCCCAAGGCAGACAACAGAAAAAGGGCAUUCAAAUAUUAUUUUCUAAAAGCACAGAAUGACAAUCUGUUAUAUAUUGUAUAGUGUAGAUAAGGUAGUUAUUGUUAUGAUUGAAUGGACCGUGUUUUUUAUAUAUAUAUAUUUAUUUAUUUAUUUAUUUGAGAUUAUUUUUGUGAUUACUGCAGUGACUAAAAGUAGCAACCCCCCCCCCCCCACAAUUUUUUUUAUUUAUUUUUUACCUAAAUUGUAAAGUAUACUGAUGAUGGCUCAUUGACCUGGUAGAACCGUUGCAGAAUCCAAAGUGUGUCUCUUUCUAAGUGUAUAUAUAUACCAGUUUAUUAAUCUAUUAAUGUAUUUAUUCCUGGGCUGCGAUAUCACUGUUAUUCAAUACUAAUUACAUUUCCCAUAUAUUAACCGUGUAAGUCUUCUGUUACUAAUCAUUGAAAAUGCUUGAUUCCUUUAAAUAUAUUCUCCUUGAAGACACCAUGCUUCAUCUCUAAGACUACAGAAAUAUUAGUAGGGAAAUGGAGGAGUCUUACGUGAUUGGUAAUACAGAGGUGUAAGCAUAUGGACCAUGGUACUGGCCAAGAGAAGACCUAUAGUGGGGGGGGAGGGGGGGGGCAUUUCACGAGGGGGCGUGGGGGUGCAAGACAUUGACUAUGCGGAAAAGAAGUUAAAGGCAUUUUAUAGAUCAUUUUGAAUCAUUGUCUAAAAGUAUUGUAUUUAUGUAUUACAUUGAAAUGUCCAUUGUGCUGUCAUUUAAAGAGUUUUUUUAUUUACAUUUCUGAUGAAUAGAUUGGCGUCCAGAAUCUAGAGCAAAAAUUACAACACGCUGAUUUUAGCUUAUCUAUGUAUCUAUCUAUCUAUCUGUCUAUUAUCCAUCUAUCUAUCCAUCUUAUAUCUAAGUGUCUAUCUAUCUAUCUAUUAUCUAUCUAUCUAUCCAUAUAUCCGUCCGUUUAUCUAUCUAUAUAUCUAUCUAUCUAUCUAUUAUACAUCUAUCUAUCUUAUAUCUAUCUGUCUUUCUAUCUAUCUAUUAUCUAUCUAUCCAUAUGUCCAUCCAUCCGUCUAUCUAGCUAUUAUCUAUCUAUCUAUCUAUCUAUCUAUCUAUCCAUAUAUCCGUCCAUUUAUCUAUCUAUAUAUCUAUCUAAUAUCUAUCUAUCUAUUAUCUUUCUAUCCGUCCGUCUAUCUAUCUAUCUAUCUAUUAUCUAUCUAUCUAUCCAUAUGUCCAUCCAUCCGUCUAUCUAGCUAUUAUCUAUCUAUCUAUCCGUCUAUCUAUCUAUCUAUCUACCCGUCUAACUAUCUAUCUAUCUAUUAGAUCUAUCUAUCUAUCUAUCUAUCUGUCUGUUUAUCUAUCUAUCUAUCUAUCUAUCUAUCCAUAUAUCCGUCCGUUUAUCUAUCUAUCUAUAUAUCUAUUCAUCUAUCAUCUAUCUAUCUAUCCAUAUAUCCGUCCGUCUAUCUAUCUAUAUAUCUAUCUAAUAUAUAUCUAUCCGUCUAUCUAUCAAUCUAUUUAUCUAUCUAUUAUCUAUCUAUCUGUCUAUCUAUCUAAUAUCUAUCUAUCUAUUAUCUAUCUAUCCGUCUAUCUAUCUAUUUAUCUAUCUAUUAUCUAUCUAUCUGUCUAUCUAUCUGUCUAUCUAUCUGUCUAUCUAUUAUCUAUCCAUAUAUACGUCUAUCUAUCUAUCUAUCUAUCUAUCUAUCUCUUGUUAACACAUUUACAGAUCUAUAUUUAUCUUAUACCUUAGUCAAUGAUACCUUAGACAAGAUCCUGUCACAUUAUGGUAAGAAGAAUUCACAUGUAUCUGUUAGUAUUGUAAAGAUGAAAAUACUUCACACUCAGUUCAUUGUAAGAUAAAUUGUCCGAAUGACAAGCUGUGCAUUUAUGAAAUAAAUGAAUCUCUGGACGUGUGUGCAAUACCUGUAUCGAUUAGUCACACACACACAGAUUAUAUAACUAUAGUACCGCAAUGUGAAAUUGGCCUCUGUAGUUUUUAACACUGCAAAUAAAAGAAUUCAUCGCUUGAUGGUUUGUGAAUGCCGAGGCUAAAAGCAGAGAGGAUCCCAUCACAAAUGCUGUCUAUUGAUUUUACCUCACUUUGUCUGAUCACAUUACAAUCUAUGGGGGCAGCUCACGGAAACGGGGUGCUCUGUACAAGGAUACAGGCAGUGGGUGCUAGGUUGAAUAAUAGGAUCUUGUGGGUAAUCUGGAGUUUGGGUGCCAAAGGGGUAAUUUGCAGUAUGUUGCUUCCACUUACGGUUUGGAUCAUAGGAUGUAAUCAUUUCUAAGUGUAGAGAAGAGCGAUGGUUAACCUUUGACACUGCAGAAUUUAAGGACACUGCAGAAUUUAAGGGCUCAGCCAGUUUAAAUAUAUCUACAAGCUGAUAAAACUAUAAAUGACCUGCUGGGUAUCAGUCGGGUCGUUGGAUGAAGGUACAAGUUGAACAGAUGUUUAGUGGACUUUCGAAUGCCUGUAGCACGUUGGUAACAUUGUACUUCUGACUCAAUGAUGCUGUGAGUAUGUGUAAAUGAUAUAAGGAGCAGUGUGGGAUAUGCUGUAUACAUGCAUCUUAUUUAAUCAGGUCCCAUGGCAGAGAAUUGAAUAACCUACAGACAAGUAACAAACAUUCCUGUAUUAUCAACACAAAUGAAUGCAUACAUUGUUACUCACAUCCACAAAUAUUCACCCCUUCAUACAAGCAUUACACACAGACACCUCACGCCCACACACUACACACGCAUACGCUGUAAUAAUUGUCAUGCUAACGUUGACUAAUAUUACACAGACACCUUUCUACCCACAACAAUAUUACCUACACAGCCCUCGCACGCCAACAUACAAUCCCUCCCAGACACAUACUACAAUAACACUGUCUCUGACACAUAUACACAUAUAUUAUACAUAGCACACACUGUGCUCAAACAUACACACACUUUACACUACACACACACUUUGCAUUGCCCCCACCAACACACCCACAGCAUGCACAUAUACUACACACGGUACACACCAUAAACACACUAUAAACAACACACACAGCAUACACUGCACACACCAUGCACUGCACACUGAACAGACAGUACUGUCCAGAGCGCACACACUGUAGAGCCCACAUAUGCAUACACCCCACUACAUGUACAACAUACACUGCACGCACACUGUACACAGAACACACACUAGACACAUACACUAUACACUGCACACACACACACACACUUUUACACAGAACACACACUAUACACUGCACAUACACACACUGUACACAGAAUACACACUAGACACUGCACACAAAAACACUGUCCACAUAACACACACUAUACACAGCGCGCGCACACUGUCUAGAGAACACACACUAUACACUGCACACACACUGUCCACAAAGUACAAACUAUACACUGCACACACACACACUGUACACAGAACACACACUAUACACAGCACACACACACACACACACACACAUUGUACACAGAACACACACUAUACACAGCACACACAAACACACACACUGCCCACAGAACACACACUAUACACUGCACACACACUUUUACACAGAACACACACUAUACACUGUGCAUACACACACUGCCCACAGAACACACACUAUACACUGCACACACACACUGUACACAGAGCACACACUAUACACAGCAGACACACACACUGUACACAGAACACACAAUACACUGCACACACACACUGUACACAGAACACACACUAUACACAGCGCAAAACACACUGUCCACAGAACACACUAUACACAGCGCACACACACACUGUACACAGAACACACACUAUACACUGCACACACUAAAAAACACGGCGUACACACUUAACACAGCAGACACACUUACACAAACUAUAUACAGCGCACAAACAUGUAUGCAUGCACUGUACACAGCACACACACUAUAUACAAGACACAUAUGCAUAAACACACUCAAACAGCAUUGCAUUAAAGCAUACAGCCACUAAAAUAGCUUUUGUGUUAAUUUGUGCACAAAAAUACAUUCUUACUAUAUGGAUACUCUAAUCUCUUACACAGUAACAGUACACACACACAACACGCACACAAGGCUGGAGUUGACCUCUUAGAUAGACAAUGUAUAUUGAAAUAGAAUAAUACUAACGUUGGAACCUUUCUUAUUUGAAAUAUAUCCAGAUCUUUGUUUUGACGUUAAUGUCUACGUAACGCAGGAAUGGCUGACAUCUCUUUUAGCCUGGUCCUCCCAUAGCUUUCACUCAGCCUGAUUUGCCCAUGAAUGACAGGAAUUUGCUCAAUUAGUUUUUUUAAUUUUUAAAAUUGUGAUUGAAAUCCUGCUACUAGGUCUGUAGAACAUCCUGGCAGCUGCUGCACAGCGUGCAGUAAUAACUUAUAGGAGAACUAAAUACAUGUCGUAAACUUACUCCCAGCAGGGGAUUUAAGGGGUUAAUUGCAAAAAAUACGAAAAUCUGGUUUAUUCCAAGUGGAAGAAAGAUAGAGAAGAUAAACGAAUCUGAGGACUAUACGUGCUAGAAAAAAAUACACAAAUAGAGGUAUGUCAUGGAAUAACAAUAAACGGACUUCUACUACACACACACACCAUCCUUACAGACUAAUAAUCAUACUCAUACGUGAAGAAUAUGUAAACCAACCCUUAUAUACACAGACACAGACACACACACACACACACCAUCCCUACAGACUAAUAAUCGUACUCAUACGUGAGGAAUAUGUAAACCAACCCUUAUAUACACAGACACACACACACACACACCAUCCUUACAGACUAAUAAUCAUACUCAUACGUGAGGAAUAAUAAACCAACCCUUAUAUACACAGACACAGACCCACACACACACACACACCAUCCUUACAGACUAAUUAUCAUACUCAUACGUGAGGAAUAAUAAACCAACCCUUAUAUACACAGACACAGACACACACACACACACACCAUCCCUACAGACUAAUAAUCAUACUCAUAUGUAAACCAACCCUUAUAUAUACACAGACAUAGACCCCCUCAUACAUACACAAAUAACACAACCUCAGACCCCUUAUAAACAAACAUGAAGAAUAAACACACAGACCCGUACACACUCACACAGUCCCCUUCAUACAUACACAAAGAACACACACACAGAUUAGUCAUACACACUAAUUAUAUACACACACACACAGAUCUAAUAAACAUACAUGAAGGAUACACACACACACACACACACACAUACACAGAGCUUUAUACACACAAACAGCUUCAUGCAUGCACAAAGAAUUAACAGAGCCCUUAUUUAAACUUAUAAUAUGCCCACAGGCCAUCAGACAGGAACUAGGUAAUAAACGCUCACACGGACACUAACAGUACACACACGUAUACACACGCACACUGUCAUGGUUUAGCUGCCAUGAAUCUCUGUCCCAAGCCACCCGGCUGUAAAUUUAUACUGCCAGUACAACAGCAUUAAGAUCAAAUUUAAUCUUGUAACUGCGCACCGGGCAUUAAAAAUAUGGAGUCCACACUCAUAACAUUGUGAAGGGACAUUCGUCACUCCAAUGGCGAGACAGGAGUGUGAAUAUUCAGGAUGGAUGGUGAUAUCACACCGUAAAUGCUUCCACUUAGAUAUAUAACUAUUGACAAAUACAUAUAUAUUUAUUCCCCAGUGGCUGUGCUUUGGGAAUACAGAAGCGGGAGUGACCAGAGUAUUUCUUGUGCCUGUGAGAAGUAUUGAAAUCACUAAAUUAUAACUCAGUGGUGCUGGGUGAUAAAUUAGGAAAAUCACAAAUCUGAGGAGAUUUAUCAAGGCAAAGAGAGAGCUAUAGAGAGAGACAGUCUAUUGGUUUCCAUGGUGACUGCUCCUUAUUUAGCACUUAGCCCUAUACUAGCGCCGGUUUUUGCCUUAAUAAAUCAACCCCUCUCUCUUUGAAAAUAACGUGCACCUUCCAUGACAUAUUGUCUGUCCAAAGUAAAUAAUGUAAUUCCAUCAACAGCCUGCACUAGCUGCAUUAUCAAUUGUUUGUAUUUUUUUUCAGUUUACCAUUAUGCCAUUGUAACGGCACUCACAGCAUCAAAUAAUAAAACCGCCGUUUAGUUAAUCCUCCCCUCUCACCAUAACGCAAGCUUCAUUCGUACCAACUCCAAUUAUACGAAGUGCAAGCAGGGAAAUACUCCAAUCUCCCGAAUGGGACCCGUACGGGUACUUCACUUCCCAAUCAGUAAACUCACGAAUCACGGCUAACAGCCGAAACCAUAUAUCUCCCAAGCGGCUAAUAAUUCCAUCCGGCAGUCGCUAUUCGUGUGUAGUAAAUUCCCCUCCAAUAACGAGACCAAGCUGCGCAUUGAGGGUAAAACAUGAACUGGGUUUACUGUGGGCUACCCGCCCGUAUUUAUGCAGGUCUCCCACUUGGUGGACACUCCCCUAGGGGACCAAAUGGGAGACUGUAAUGGCAGAUGGACAUACAGCAUUUCAGGACACACAGGCACAUAAUAUUCCCAGCAUGCAUCAUGGUUUCCUCCCCUCUGCCCUGGAGAUAAUUGAGAAGUAAUUCAAUUAUCUCCCAGGACAGAGGCAAAUCGCCAUUUUAGAUGCGACCCAAAAAACACAUAAAAAUAUAUAAUUUUACAACUACCGAACAUUUCCCAUUCGUGUAACGUAUCCCCAGAUAGCCUGGAUCUGAGUGCAUAUUAUUGGCGAAUAGCGCUCAGAUCCCAGACGCACAGUUCAAUCGCCAUGGAGUCAAAGUCUGGUACAGUCAUUCGGUAUGCGAUUGACUCCAUGGGAAGGCUAUCUGGGUUAAGUCCCUUGGUGCGGUUCAAAACUCCCGAACGGCCGGUGUUCGCAUGCUUUAGUCGAUGGAGAAGGGAGGUCGGUGGUUUUAGCGGUGUUCGGCAGAAAAAGUGUCCUUUUUCAGUUCCAUAGAAUCUAUCCAGAACACCGCUGGUCUUUCGCAUGUUUUAAAAUGGCCGCCGCCUCGUGGUCGACAUACGAACGACGACCACCCUGUAUUCGGUUAUAAUUGAGAGGUGUCUGCGGUUAACCACAACGUUCUAAUUGGGAUCAAGAGGUUAACCAGCAGCACACUUCUCUUCUGGGUGGCCUUCUUUUCUAUAAGUUCAUUCGGUAGUAAAGUCAAAUAAACGAACAGGGGCAUACGGACAGGUAAUUCCACGAAAAGAGGCAAAACAGACAAACCAGCAAUCUUAGUCUAUACAGAUGGAUCUGUCACAGCCAUUGACAGACCCUGAAAACACUUCACCUCACUGACUGCAUCCUCUUUCUUCAUUUUACAAAAAGUGGAGAUUUCAAUAGAAAUUGGCACUUUUAUAAUCUUACAUUGUCCUGGUUUUGUUAGCUCAGGGGAGAUAAACUCAAGAGGCAGAUAUUGUCCAGAGCACCUGCCUUGCAAAGACUUCUCAUUGAGCUGCAUUGGGAAGUCUGUGAUUGGACAGCCACAGAAAGUGUAGGCGGGGUUAGAAGGGGAGGGCUUGCAAAGGCUGCAGACAAGAGAUCAGCUUUUGUGAGAUGUUUUUAGAUAUAUCUAAAAAAAUGCAUAAUUAAAUGUAUGCAUGGAUUAAUUGGAUGUUUAUCUACUAAACACUAUUUUUUAAUUCUUUUUUAUUUAAUAUGAAAUCAAACAUCAACAAAUUUGGCAACAUAGGCAAAAGCAGGCACAGCUGUUUUAGUCCCACGUAAUUGAACAGAAUCCAACCAAUAAAAUUGAGCAAAUGCAUGAAGGACAUUGUAAGGAACACACGUGUCACUAUUGCUGUGUGGUUACAGGUGCAGCCAUCUUAAUAAAGGAGGCAGUGAUGGCCGGGUACAUCAUUCAAACUUUACAUUUUGGGGGAUUUUGUAAUAUAAAGAUUUCAUGUAUAUCUUCCUGAAGCUCGCCUUUUCAGUCUCACAUUUUGCCAUAAAGGUUGUUUUUUAUUAGAUUCUAAAUAAGUUAUUAAUUAUUUUACAGAGAAUGUAAUAUUUGCCAACAGUUCAACUGCACCAAGGUGGACACUUUCAUUUUAGGGGUGUGAGUGGGGUGCAGCCAGGGGUGGGGCUGCUCUGAGAAAUUUUAGGUGACAUACUAAUAACAAUUUCUACAAUUAAAAUGUAAUUUAGAACAAUGUAUCUUAUGUACUCAGACUGAUUUUUAAACACAUUUAUUGUAGUUUAAAGACACAUUACUGGGAGUAUUAUUGCUGUGGAGCUCCGUUAUACGCUCAGAUACAUUACUGGGAGUAUUAUUGUUGUGGAGCUCUGUUAUACACUCAUACACAUUACUGGGAGAAUUAUUACUGUGGAGCUCUGUUAUACACUCAGACACAUUACUGGGAGUAUUAUUGCCGUGGAGCUCUGUUAUACAUUCAGACACAUUACUGGGAGUAUUAUUGCCGUGGAGCUCUGUUAUACACUCAGACACAUUACUGGGAGUAUAAUUGCCGUGGAGCUCUGUUAUACACUCAGACACAUUACUGGGAGUAUUAUUGCUGUGGAGCUCUGUUAUACACUCAGACACAUUACUGGGAAUAUUAUUACUGUGGAGCUCUGUUAUACACACAGACACAUUACUGGGAGUAUUAUUGCUGUGGAGCUCUGUUAUACACUCAGACACAUUACUAGGAGUAUUAUUGCUGUGGAGCUCUGUUAUACACUCAGACACAUUACUGGGAGUAUUAUUGCUGUGGAGCUCUGUUAUACACUCAGACACAUUACUGGGAGUAUUAUUGUUGUGGAGCUCUGUUAUACACUCAGACACAUUACUGGGAGUAUUAUUGCUGUGGAGCUCUGUUAUACACUCAGACACAUUACUGGGAGUAUUAUUGCUGUGGAGCUCUGUUAUACACUCAGACACAUUACUGGGAGUAUUAUUGGUGUGGAGCUCCGUUAUACACUCAGACACAUUACUGGGAGUAUUAUUGCUGUGGAGCUCUGUUAUACACUCAGACACAUUACUGGGAGUAUUAUUGCUGUGGAGCUCUGUUACACAAUCAGUCACAUUAUUGGGAGUAUUAUCGCUGUGGAGCUCUGUUAUACAAUCAGUCACAUUAUUAGGAGUAUAGAGGCAUUUGGGCACAAAAUAGGGACUGUCUCUCCUAAACAGGGACACUUGGGAGGAAUGGAAUGGAAAGCGAGUAAUUUAUAACAAAUGCAGCAGACAGUUCAUUUCCUUACCUUGUCCCUAUGACUGUUAGUUAUCUUACCUUCCUAAACACAAUCUGUAAGUAAUAAUAAUUAUACGUAACCAAGAUAUAGAUUUAGCGUUUACGAAUAUAUGUCUUGAUGUUAUUUUUACCCAACUUAAUGGAAGUCAUUUUAUUGACGCCUGGAAGAUGAAUCGUUGAGUCCAUCCUAACAGGAAUCGAACUUGGAGUUUAUACAUAUCCCAAUAAUAGCGCAUCGGUGCACUAACUGCCGGGCUAUCCAACCACAUAUAAGUAGAUAUUUUAAAAUCCCCGGACCCUAAAGGAGGUGCAGUAAAUUCCUUGUACGGAAUAUUCACACGGAAACAGCAGGGAAUUCAAUGUGUGCAGUCAAAAAAGCCGAACCGGAAACAUUCUCCAAGUCAGCUAGGCUUUCAGCUCGGCUACUCUGGCCUUAACUUAGAAAUUCCCUUUGAAUUCUCACGUUAGUAAAUUCCUCUGUAAAUGGUACUAGUUAUUAAUAUCAUUCUUUUCAACUUUAUUGUUGAUCUAAAUUAGAAUUACAUCAUAAAAUGAAGAGCAUUUUGUGAAAAAGAAACAGAAUUGAGAUUUCUGGAAUUAAGGAAACGAAAAGCUGACUGUGUAUUGUUAGUCCAAGAUAUGGCAUUAGAAAACAGAGUAAGAAGGAAGAAAAGAGCAGUCUUUCAUGCCAGAAUACAUUAAAUAUUCCCUAAAACUCCUUCGUUUUAUUUAUUUUUUUAAGAAGCCGAACAUAGGCUGGUACCGUUUUUGUCUGUUAGUGAACGUCCCUCUUGAGAAAACAGUACCUGGAGGGCUGUCAGCGAACUACGAGUAAUGUGAUUACUUUAAAAAUCUAAAUAGAGAGAGACAUAAAUCAUUUCAAAAUAACAUAUCCACGAACACAUCAGGUAGAUGUGUAAUAAUGAGAGAGAAACAGACAUACAGACAGGUAGAUAGAUCCAGAUCGAUCGAUCGAUAGAUAGAUAGAUAGAUAGAUAGACAGACAGACAGACAGACAGACAGACAGACAGACAGACAGAUAGAUAGAUAUUAGAUAGAUAGAUAGAUAGAUAGAUAGAGAUAGACAAACAGACAGACAGGUAGAUAUAGAUAGAUAGAUAUAUAGACAAAUAGACAUAUAGAUAGAUAGAUAGAUAGAGAUAGAUAGACAGACAUAUAGAUAGAUAGAUAGAUAGAUAGAUAGAUAGAUAGAUAGACAAACAGACAGACAGGUAGAUAUAGAUAGAUAGAUAUAUAGACAGAUAGAUAGAUAGAUAUAUAGAUACUGUAUAGAUAGAUAGACAGACAGACAGUGUAACGGACCGUUUUGCACAAAAGGGGUAAAAAACGUUUAGGUGAUCGGCCCCCUUUCCAGAGAUGCAGGCACAGCUACUGCAGAACACCAAACACACGAACCGCCAAUAAGUGAAUGCUCCAAACACCCGAACGGCAUCCAAUACAGCACUCCAAAUACACGAACAGGAACCAUACAAAUUGCUGCUAGCAGACGAAUAGGAAAAGCCCCCAAGCGGCUUACACUCCUAGCAAUCAGUCUCUAACAGCAUAAAGUAAAUCCCCCCAAUAAUGAGACGACACUUCACUUUGAGGGUUAAGCAGGAACUCUUGUGCUGGCACACCCAGCCUGGUUUUUAUUACAGCCUUUCACAUACAGGACCGCCCACAGGGAGGUAUAAAACAACCAAUCACAUCACAGUUACAUCCCACAUAUUCCCUCCCCUUAUCCUGAGAGGAAACUCAAUUACACAUACAGUUAAAACAUACUUUCUACCCAACUUUCAUAACUCUAAAACCAUACAUCACAUUCACAUAAAAUUACAUUUCACAAUCAAUCCAUUCAGGGGAACAACAUAUUAAAAAAUGGCAUGAAUCAGACCAGGGGUUCAAAAGUUAGUAAAAGUAUCUUUUGGGCCCUGGCUGGCAGCAUGGCUAUCUGGCUCAAACAGGUUUUACAGAGCCCUCUAUCCUGGACAGUCGGGGAAAGUAAUCCAAUUAUCCAGGGAUAGAGGCAGACUCCAUUGAGCACAUGGUUGCAAAAAGACAUAAAACACUUUAAAAUACAUAAAGUCAGCUUUUACACAUAACACACAGAAUUUCACAUAUCCCCAGAUAGCUGGGAUCUGAGCGCACAAAACUACCGAAUAGCACUCAGAUCCUAUUCACACAGUUCAAUUGCCAUGGAGCCGAAGUCUUUAACUACACGAAUGGGCUCCAUGGCAUAGCUAUCUGGGUUAACACAUUCACACAAAGUCUGGUCCAUAGUCCAAAGGCAAGAGGCGGGCAGCCAGGCUUCUCCAAUGCCAUGUGGCGAGAUUGCUCUCGUCACAGACAGAUAGAUAGAUAGAUAGAUAGAUAGAUUGGAUAGUUAGAUAGACAGAUAGAUAGAUAGAUAGAUAGAUAGAUAGAUAGAUAGAUAGAUAGAUAGAUAGAUAGAUAGAUAGAUAGAUAUUGGAUAGAUAGAUAGAUAGACAGACAGACAGACAGGUAGAUAUAGAUAGAUAGAUAGAUAGAUAGAUAGAUAGAUAGAUAGAUAGAUAGACAUAUAGACAGAUAGAUAGAUAGAUAGAUAGAUAGAUAGAUAGAUAGAUAGAUAGAUAGAUAGAUAAUUGAUUGAUAGAUAGAUAAUUUAUAGAUAGAUAGAUCAAUAAUUGAUUGAUAGAUAGAUAGAUAAAUAGAUAGAUAGAUAGAUAGACAGACAGACAGACAGACAUAUAGACAGAUAGACAGAUAGAUAGAUAGAUAGAUAGAUAGAUAGAUAGAUAGAUAGAUAGAUAGAUCAUUUCUUAUUCAGAAUUGUAAGGUUUUAUGUAUUAAGUCUAUUCUCCGGUAGCUGAGUUCAGGGACAGGAACAAAACCUGGAAGACAUCCAUCAUUUCCAGACACAGUAGGAUAUUGAAUAGACUUGGGAGGAGUCCAGAGAAGGUGAAGAGAGUAUUCCGUAUUAAAUAAAGGAUCAAUAACGUACUAAGAUUAUACAGAUAUGUAAGACUGCCAUUUGUAGAUGCUAAAAAGGUAAUUGUGACAACAGCAAUCUCGCCACAUUGCAUUGUAGAAGCCGGGUUGUUCGCCUGUUGCCUUUGGAUUAUGGCCCCAUGUUAAAAGGCUUGAUUUUCCCCUGCAAAGACAAGAAAUCCGGGUCAUUUGGUGCUGGCCCUGUUUGAGCAGUGAUACCCCAGAUCGCUAUGCCAUGGAGCCCAUUCGUAUAAUGAAAGACUAUGGGAAAGACUUUGGCUCCAUGGCAAUUGAACUAUAUGUGUGUGCUCUGAGCGCCAUUCAGUAAUAAUGUGCGCUCAGACCUAAGCUAUCUGGGCAUAUGUUGCAUGUCUGUAUUUUAUGUCAUAAAUGUAACCUUGUGUAUUGUAUUUUACUGUCUUUUUGCUGCCAUGUGUUCAAUGGAGUUUUGCCUCUGUCUUUGGAGAUAAUUGGAUUACUUCUAAUUAUCUCCAGGAUAGAAGACUCUGUGGAACUGGUUUUGGGCAGAAAAGCCAUGCUUCCUUUGGUCACAAAGGACUACGAUCUAUCUUUUGAACCACUGGACCAAUUUGGAUGAUUUUGACAUAUGUUUGUAUUUGGAGUAUGCUGAUUCUGAAAAUGUUUUAUGUGAAUGUGAUGCAUACUUUUCAAGUUAUGAAUAAUGUGGAAAAAUGGUAUUUCUCUGCUUGUUAUAAUUACAUUACCCAUUGUGUAAGGUAAUUGUAUCACAGGCAGAGGGGAGGAUUUUGUGUGGGAGUGUCUGAGUGUAUUGUAUGUGUUUAUUGGUUGUGUUCCAAAACCCUGUGGGUGGUACUAAUGUGUAAGAAUGUGUACAUAAGCACAAUAAACCCACAGCUCUGUCUGUUCACUGCUUGACCCUCAACACAGAGCUUUGUCUCGUUCUUGGGGGGAUUUACUGUAUGCUGUUAGAGACUGAUUGCCCGGAGUGUAAGCUGCUUGGGUGCUUUUCCUGUUCAGCUGCUAGCAGCUAUUCGUGAGGUUCCCGUUCUGGAUUUUGGAGUGCUACUUGGUAUCCUGUUCGGGAGUUUGGUGUUCUGCAGUAGCUGUGCCUGCAUCUCUGAAUGGGGACGAUCGCCUAAACGGUUUUAACCCCUUGUAAGCUGAAAUGGUCCGUUACAGUAAUUUAUACUGCUCAGGUAACAUUAAGACCUGAGCAGGGAUUUACCAAAGGGCAAGUCACAGAGUUUCUUUAAGCUUUUGUCUGUUCUCAGAAUUCUCAAAUCCUUUGUUUUUGUUGCAAUGCAUCUACUUAGGUUAAGUCUUAACUUAAAAUACUAAUAGAUGUGGCUAUAUGUUCACAGUGACCAGAGAGAUCCAAGCUACGCCCAAAGAAGGCCAGAUGAUCGUCCGGGUUUGUUGUAUCUCUUCUGCCGAGAGAACUUGCCGGCAUUCGGUUCUAGACUGCUCUCAUGGGUGGGAUCAGUCUGAUGUGCAAAUAGGACAGGUUCACUCAGGCUUAAUUGAGCCCUGAGUGGGGACUAACCGAAGGGCAAGCUACUGAGAUUUUAACAGUGAGAGUGAAGAAGAAGAUUGCGGUAAAUCAACGCAAACAAACAGACUUGUUUCUAUAAAAAAGAAAGUAAAAAUGUACAUCAGGAUGUUAGCGCUAAUUGUUUGCUUGGCUUAUUUUUUACAGGAAAUCUGUCAUUGAUUUUUAUUAUUUAAAACACGUUAUCUAUGCAUACAGUGCUUCUCCUGCUUCCUGAGGGCAGCCAUCUUUAAAUCCUCUUGAGUCUGACAUUUUGCUUAUCCAACCAGAGACCAUACAGAUAAGUAAGUGUUAGUUUAUAAAUGCUGAUAUCUGCAAGUGAUGAUCAUCUCAAAAAUAUUCUUUGCGUUACAUUCAGCCAUUCAAAAUGUCCUAGUAGUUCAUACAACCAAAGAGGACUUAAAGAUGGCUGCCCCCACGGAGCACGGAGAUACACUGUAACAAAGAGGACUUAAAGAUGGCUGCCCCCACGGAGCACGGAGAUACACUGAAACAAAGAGGACUUAAAGAUGGCUGCCCCCACGGAGCACGGAGAUACACUGAAACAAAGAGGACUUAAAGAUGGCUGCCCCCACGGAGCACACAGAUACACUGAAACAAAGAGGACUUAAAGAUGGCUGCCCCCACGGAGCACACAGAUACACUGAAACAAAGAGGACUUAAAGAUGGCUGCCUCCACAUAGCACAGAGAUACACUGAAACUAGAGAUUUACUUGUAUCUGCAUUACAAGAAUACACAGAGAUUAUAUUAUUGACUAUUAUGAGACUAUAUUAUUGACUAUUAUGAGACUAUAUUAUUGCAUAUAAGCUUUUAGAAGGCACUCACAUGGCGCUGUUGCGUAAAUGUUAUGAAAUAAACCUAAGCGAAUCUGAGGGAUUAUUUAAUAAACUGAAUUGUGCAAAAUUGAAAAAAAGGGAUGUGUAAAUUGGAAAAAGACCUGGCUGGAUAUUUUGUUUCAGUUUGACCUAUUUUGGUUUAAACGGUAUAAUUCCCUUACCAAUUGCCGUAGGAUUCUCUGCGUUGUGAACCUUCUCAUAUCGGAAAUGGAUGAAAAUAGACUGAGGGAUAGGAUGCAGGGUAUGCAUUGAUUGAUUGUCAUUGAUGGCCCAGUUUACAAAAGAAUUAAAAUUGUAAUCAAGGACUUGUCCUGGGACCACCCCCUGUCACUUUCCAUGUUACUAUUUUUGUAGAGAGCUUUGAAUGUCUGGCUGUUCACUAAAGGCAGAGAAUUAUAAGAGCUCGGGUAUUUAGAAAAGUAUAUUUCUUCCCGGUACAUGAUGUCUGUGACGAUGUAUUGCUUAAUACUGCAAUGAAGUUUUUUAUUCAACUAAAGCACUUUUGAUUGAUUGACAAGCUUUCAGGAGUUGCAUUUCAAACCUGUGGCGUGAUCCAGUGGUAAACCUAUAACAAGGCAUAUAAAACGCAGUCUAAAGCAGAUUUAAAAACCUCAGCAUUGUAAAUAUUCAGGGCACGAGAUUUGUGUACGAUGAUAAGAGAGGAAUAAAUAAUAGUGUUUAAAAUACAGAUUAUUUUAUUUGUUGAACAUGAAUUGUAGAGAAUUCAUAAAUUCUUUGCAAAUAGUAGACAAAUGUGUCUGGGAAUCUAUAAUAAACAUACAAAAAAUCUAUAAUAAACAUACAAAAAACAAAAACAAAAACACACACGCACAUAUGCACGCAUCCCAACGCCCCACCUCUGUACGAACCCUCAAAUAUCUGGGAUCACAGACAUUUACUAAGAAUCUGGUAUCACUUUAGAAAGCACAUUUAAAUUGUGCAAUAUGGAAUAUCAAAAACAGCAAUCAUCGUGAUGGCUGUUAACAUCAUUGGAACAAUGUGAUUUUUUUUGUGUUUCUGGUUCAGGUGUGAAUAUACAUUUUUUUCAUUUUUGUUUUAGAAUCUCUUGAAAGAAAUACUAGCUGUAGAUUUAUCAGAGUGCCUAUUUAAACGAUGGGUAUAGGAAGCACAGGGGAUGGGGAGAAUGUCCCCAGAGAAAUAUUUCAGGAGGGCAUAGAGAGGGGGCCUCCAGGAAAUGUUGCAGGAGGUUGUAGAGAGGGGACCUCUAAAAAAUGUCGCAGGAGUGCAUAGAGAGGGGACCUCUAAGAAAUGUCGCAGGAGGGCGUAGAGAGGAGACCUCUAAAAAAUGUUGCAGGAGGGCGUAGGAAGAGGAAAUCUAAGAAAUGUUGCAGGAGGGCGUAGAGAGGGGACCUUUAAGAAAUGUCGCAGGAGGAAUUGUUGAAACUGCAAUAAUUACCUUUCAGAGUUAAUGCCACGUCUAGAGGCUGUCUACCAGACAGCCACUAGAGGGCCUUCCGGGUGGUUAGGCGACCAAAAGGGUGGGCGCUAGAGAGAGGGCACUGUAGGAACCUAUAGUGCCAGGAAAACGUCCUUCGCAUGUUAAGAUGGGAAGAUCGUCAUCAGAUAGUACUGGGUUUAAGUCUUUGAAGAUUUGCACAUUUUCUAAAGGCAGAGCUGCAUGCAGCCACUUGCAGAACAUGUGUGGAGACAUUUCUCUUUGUACUGUAACAGGCCUGCCCAUGGUGUAUUCAGAGCAGAGUUUAUUUUUUAGUUAUGGUCUUUGGUUUAGAUCAUUUGUGACUGAGUGACUCAGACAGUAUGUUUACUGUUUAGAAGUGGCCUUCAGUGUCUAGGUAUAAUACCUGGGAGCCUGGUCUUAAACAUUGUCUUAAAUAUUGUGAGAAUGAGGGUGUCUAGUAUGUCUAGUUUGGUUUGAUUGGAUGAUGACCAUUAGCGGUUGUUACAGGGUUGGUUUGAUUGGAUAAUAACCAUUAGUGGUUGUUGCAGGUUCGAUUUAAUUGGAUGAUAACCAUUAGCGGUUGUUACAGGUUUGGUUUGAUUGGAUGAUAACCAUUAGGGGUUGUUACAGGUUUGGUUUGAUUGGAUAAUAACCAUUAGCGGUUGUUACAGGUUUGGUUUGAUUGGUUUAUAGCCAUUAGCGGUUGUUACAGGUUUGGUUUGAUUGGAUGAUGACCAUUAGCGGUUGUUACAGGUUUGAUUUGAUUGGAUGGUAACUAUUAGUGGUUGUUGCAGGUUUGGUUUGAUUGGAUGAUGACCAUUAGCGGUUGUUACAGGUUUGGUUUGAUUGGAUGAUAACCAUUAGCGGUUGUUACAGGUUUGGUUUGAUUUGAUGAUAACCAUUAGCGAUUGUUACAGGUUUGGUUUAAUUGGAUGUUAAACAUUAGCAGUUGUUACAGGUUUGAUUUGAUUGGAUGAUAACCAUUAGCGGUUGCUACAGGUUUGGUUUGAUUGGUUUAUAACCAUUAGCGGUUGUUACAGGUUUGGUUUGAUUGGAUGAUGACCAUUAGCGGUUGUUACAGGUUUGGUUUGAUUGGAUGAUAACCAUUAGCGAUUGUUACAGGUUUGGUUUAAUUGGAUGAUAAACAUUAGCGGUUGUUACAGGUUUGGUUUCUAGCGGCUGUUACAGGUUUGGCUUGAUUGGAUGGUAACCAUUAGCGGUUGUUACAGGUUUGGUUUGAUUGGAUGAUGACCAUUAGCGGUUGUUACAGGGUUGGUUUGAUUGGAUAAUAACCAUUAGUGGUUGUUGCAGGUUCGAUUUAAUUGGAUGAUAACCAUUAGCGGUUGUUACAGGUUUGGUUUGAUUGGAUGAUAACCAUUAGGGGUUGUUACAGGUUUGGUUUGAUUGGAUAAUAACCAUUAGCGGUUGUUACAGGUUUGGUUUGAUUGGUUUAUAGCCAUUAGCGGUUGUUACAGGUUUGGUUUGAUUGGAUGAUAAACAUUAGCGGUUGUUACAGGUUUGAUUUGAUUGGAUGAUAACCAUUAGCGGUUGUUACAGGUUUGGUUUGAUUGGAUGAUAACCAUUAGCGAUUGUUACAGGUUUGGUUUAAUUGGAUGAUAAACAUUAGCGGUUGUUACAGGUUUGGUUUGAUUGGAUGAUGACCAUUAGCGGUUGUUACAGGUUUGGUUUGAUUGGAUGAUAACCAUUAGCGGUUGUUACAGGUUUGGUUUGAUUGGAUGAUGACCAUUAGCGGUUGUUACAGGUUUGGUUUGAUUGGAUGAUAACCAUUAGCGGUUGUUACAGGUUUGGUUUGAUUUGAUGAUAACCAUUAGCGAUUGUUACAGGUUUGGUUUAAUUGGAUGAUAAACAUUAGCGGUUGUUACAGGUUUGAUUUGAUUGGAUGAUAACCAUUAGCGGUUGCUACAGGUUUGGUUUGAUUGGUUUAUAACCAUUAGCGGUUGUUACAGGUUUGGUUUGAUUGGAUGAUGACCAUUAGCGGUUGUUACAGGUUUGGUUUGAUUGGAUGAUAACCAUUAGCGAUUGUUACAGGUUUGGUUUAAUUGGAUGAUAAACAUUAGCGGUUGUUACAGGUUUGGUUUCAUUGGAUGAUAACCAUUAGCGAUUGUUACAGGUUUGGUUUAAUUGGAUGAUAAAAAUUAGCGGUUGUUACAGGUUUGAUUUGAUUGGAUGAUAACCAUUAGCGGUUGUUACAGGUUCGGUUUAAUUGGAUGAUAACCAUUAGCGGUUGUUACAGGUUUGGUUUGAUUGGAUGAUAACCAUUAGCGGUAGUUAUAGGUUUGGUUUGAUUGGAUGAUGACCAUUAGCGGUUGUUACAGGUUUGGUUUGAUUGGAUGAUAACCAUUAGCGGUUGUUACAGGUUUGGUUUGAUUUGAUGAUAACCAUUAGCGGCUGUUACAGGUUUGGCUUGAUUGGAUGGUAACCAUUAGCGGUUGUUACAGGUUUGGUUUGAUUGGAUGAUAACCAUUAGCGAUUGUUACAGGUUUGGUUUAAUUGGAUGAUAAACAUUAGCGGUUGUUACAGGUUUGAUUUGAUUGGAUGAUAACCAUUAGCGGUUGCUACAGGUUUGGUUUGAUUGGUUUAUAACCAUUAGCGGUUGUUACAGGUUUGGUUUGAUUGGAUGAUGACCAUUAGCGGUUGUUACAGGUUUGGUUUGAUUGGAUGAUAACCAUUAGGGAUUGUUACAGGUUUGGUUUAAUUGGAUGAUAAACAUUAGCGGUUGUUACAGGUUUGAUUUGAUUGGAUGGUAACUAUUAGUGGUUGUUGCAGGUUCGGUUUAAUUGGAUGAUAACCAUUAGCGGUUGUUACAGGUUUGGUUUGAUUGGAUGAAAACCAUUAGCGGUAGUUACAGGUUUGGUUUGAUUGGAUGAUGACCAUUAGCGGUUGUUACAGGUUUGGUUUGAUUGGAUGAUAACCAUUAGCGGUUGUUACAGGUUUGGUUUGAUUUGAUGAUAACCAUUAGCAGCUGUUACAGGUUUGGCUUGAUUGGAUGAUAACCAUUAGCGGUUGUUGCAGGUUCGGUUUGAUUGGAUGAUAACCAUUAGCAGUUGUUACAGGUUUGGUUUGAUUGGAUGAUAACCAUUAGCGGUUGUUACAGGUUUGGUUUGAUUGGAUGAUAACCAUUAGCGUUUGUUACAGGUUUGGUUUGAUUGGAUGAUAACCAUUAGCGGUUGUUACAGGUUUGGUUUGAUUGGAUGAUGACCAUUAGCGGUUGUUACAGGUUUGGUUUGAUUGGAUGAUAACCAUUAGCGGUUGUUACAGGUUUGGUGUGAUUGGAUGAUAACCAUUAGCGGUUGUUGCAGGUUCGGUUUGAUUGGAUGAUAACCAUUAGCGGUUGUUACAGGUUUGGUUUGAUUGGAUGAUGACCAUUAGCAGUUGUUACAGGUUUGGUUUGAUUGGAUGAUAACCAUUAGCGGUUGUUACAGGUUUGGUGUGACUGGAUGAUAACCAUUAGCGGUUGUUAGAGGUUUGGUUUGAUUGGAUGGUAACUAUUAGUGGUUGUUGCAGGUUCGGUUUAAUUGGAUGAUAACCAUUAGCGGUUGUUACAGGUUUGGUUUGAUUGGUUUAUAACCAUUAGCGGUUGUUAUAGGUUUGAUUUGAUUGGAUGAUAACCAUUAGCGGUUGCUACAGGUUUGGUUUGAUUGGAUAAUAACCAUUAGCGGUUGUUGCAGGUUCGGUUUGAUUGGAUGAUAACCAUUAGCGGUUGUUACAGGUUUGGUUUGAUUGGAUGAUAACCAUUAGCGGUAGUUACAGGUUUGGUUUGAUUGGAUGAUAACCAUUAGCAGUUGUUACAGGUUUGGUUUGAUUGGAUGAUAACCAUUAGCAGUUGUUACAGGUUUGGUUUGAUUGGAUGAUAAUCAUUAGGGGUUGUUACAGGUUUGGUUUGAUUGGAUGAUAAACAUUAGCGGUUGUUACAGGUUUGGUUUGAUUGGAUGAUAACCAUUAGCGGUUGUUACAGGUUUGGUUUGAUUGGAUGAUAACCAUUAGCGGUUGUUACAGGUUUGGUUUGAUUGGAUGAUGACCAUUAGCAGUUGUUACAGGUUUGGUUUGAUUGGAUGAUAACCAUUAGCGGUUGUUACAGGUUUGGUGUGAUUGGAUGAUAACCAUUAGCGGUUGUUAGAGGUUUGGUUUGAUUGGAUGGUAACUAUUAGUGGUUGUUGCAGGUUCGGUUUAAUUGGAUGAUAACCAUUAACGGUUGUUACAGGUUUGGUUUGAUUGGAUGAUAACCAUUAGCGGUUGUUACAGGUUUGGUUUGAUUGGAUGGUAACCAUUAGCGGUUGUUACAGGUUUGGUUUGAUUGGAUGAUAACCAUUAGCGGUUGUUACAGGUUUAGUUUGAUUGGAUGAUAACCAUUAGCGGUUGUUACAGGUUUGGUUUGAUUGGAUGAUAACCAUUAGCAGUUGUUACAGGUUUGGUUUGAUUGGUUUAUAACCAUUAGCGGUUGUUAUAGGUUUGGUUUGAUUGGAUGAUAACCAUUAGCGGUUGCUACAGGUUUGGUUUGAUUGGAUAAUAACCAUUAGCAACCGUUGCAGGUUCGGUUUGAUUGGAUGAUAACCAUUAGCGGUUGUUACAGGUUUGGUUUGAUUGGAUGAUAACCAUUAGCGGUUGCUACAGGUUUGGUUUGAUUGGAUAAUAACCAUUAGCAGUUGUUACAGGUUUGGUUUGAUUAGAUGAUAACCAUUAGCGGUUGUUACAGGUUUGGUUUGAUUGGAUGAUAACCAUUAGCGGUAGUUACAGGUUUGGUUUGAUUGGAUGAUAACCAUUAGCAGUUGUUACAGGUUUGGUUUGAUUGGAUGAUAACCAUUAGGGGUUGUUACAGGUUUGGUUUGAUUGGAUGAUAACCAUUAGCGUUGUUACAGGUUUGGUUUGAUUGGAUGAUAACCAUUAGCGGUUUUUACAGGUUUGGUUUGAUUGGAUGAUAACCAUUAGCGGUUGUUACAGGUUUGGUGUGAUUGGAUGAUAACCUUUAGCGGUUGUUAGAGGUUUGGUUUGAUUGGAUGGUAACUAUUAGUGGUUGUUGCAGGUUCGGUUUAAUUGGAUGAUAACCAUUAACGGUUGUUACAGGUUUGGUUUGAUUGGAUGAUAACCAUUAGCGGUUGUUACAGGUUUGGUUUGAUUGGAUGGUAACCAUUAGCGGUUGUUACAGGUUUGGUUUGAUUGGAUGAUAACCAUUAGCGGUUGUUACAGGUUUAGUUUGAUUGGAUGAUAACCAUUAGCGGUUGUUACAGGUUUGGUUUGAUUGGUUUAUAACCAUUAGCGGUUGUUACAGGUUUGGUUUGAUUGGAUGAUAACCAUUAGCGGUUGUAACAGGUUUGGUUUGAUUGGUUUAUAACCAUUAGCGGUUGUUACAGGUUUGGUUUGAUUGGAUAAUAACCAUUAGCAGUUGUUACAGGUUUGGUUUGAUUAGAUGAUAACCAUUAGCGGUUGUUACAGGUUUGGUUUGAUUGGUUUAUAACCAUUAGCGGUUGUUACAGGUUUGGUUUGAUUGGAUGAUAACCAUUAGCAGUUGUUACAGGUUUGGUUUGAUUGGAUGAUAACCAUUAGGGGUUGUUACAGGUUUGGUUUGAUUGGAUGAUAACCAUUAGCGGUUGUUACAGGUUUGGUUUGAUUGGAUGAUAACCAUUAGCGGUUUUUACAGGUUUGGUUUGAUUGGAUGAUAACCAUUAGCGGUUGUUACAGGUUUGGUGUGAUUGGAUGAUAACCUUUAGCGGUUGUUAGAGGUUUGGUUUGAUUGGAUGGUAACUAUUAGUGGUUGUUGCAGGUUCGGUUUAAUUGGAUGAUAACCAUUAACGGUUGUUACAGGUUUGGUUUGAUUGGAUGGUAACCAUUAGCGGUUGUUACAGGUUUGGUUUGAUUGGAUGAUAACCAUUAGCGGUUGUUACAGGUUUAGUUUGAUUGGAUGAUAACCAUUAGAGGUUGUUACAGGUUUGGUUUGAUUGGAUGAUAACCAUUAGCGGUUGUUACAGGUUUGGUUUGAUUGGUUUAUAACCAUUAGCGGUUGUUAUAGGUUUGGUUUGAUUGGAUGAUAACCAUUAGCGGUUGCUACAGGUUUGGUUUGAUUGGAUAAUAACCAUUAGCGGUUGUUGCAGGUUCGGUUUGAUUGGAUGAUAACCAUUAGCGGUUGUUACAGGUUUGGUUUGAUUGGAUAAUAACCAUUAGCAGUUGUUACAGGUUUGGUUUGAUUAGAUGAUAACCAUUAGCGGUUGUUACAGGUUUGGUUUGAUUGGAUGAUAACCAUUAGCGGUAGUUACAGGUUUGGUUUGAUUGGAUGAUAACCAUUAGCAGUUGUUACAGGUUUGGUUUGAUUGGAUGAUAACCAUUAGCAGUUGUUACAGGUUUGGUUUGAUUGGAUGAUAACCAUUAAGGGUUGUUACAGGUUUGGUUUGAUUGGAUGAUAACCAUUAGCGGUUGUUACAGGUUUGGUUUGAUUGGAUGAUAACCAUUAGCGGUUGUUACAGGUUUGAUUGGAUGAUAACCAUUAGCAGUUGUUGCAGUUUCGGUUUAAUUGGAUGAUAACCAUUAGCAGUUGUUACAGGUUUCGUUUGAUUGAAUGAUAACCAUUAGCAGUUGUUACAAGUUUGGUUUGAUUGGUUGAUAGCCAGGGCCGGACUGGGAAAAAAAUUAGGCCCGGCAUUUUUCAAUUAGAGCAGCCCCCCAAGAAGGGGGCGGGGCCAGAGAGGGUGUGUUUUGUCAUCACUAAUGACAAGUACGCCCCUUCUGAAAGUGAGCAUGUUGGUUCAAUGCCCAGAGCCCCGCUGAAGAGCUCUAGCAUUAGAAAAAGGCACUGUAUUUGUUCUGCGCAGCGCAAGCAAAUGUAAUAACAUGCUUGCGCUGUGUUUGCUUUUAAAUUGUCUCUGGUGUCUCCACAAGUGGGAUACCAGAGGAUAAAAGGGCCAGGAAAGUGCAUGGUGCAUGUGUUUGGCGCAUGCUUGUGGGAUUGCCUGUGUGUAGAGUGUGCUGUGGUAUUGUGUAAAUAGGUCAAUUUUGUGGUGUAAUAUGUGUGGCUAGGGGCUGUAGAGAGUGCGUGUGUAGGGGCAUAGUGUUAUAGGGGAUGUAGCGAGUGUUUACAUACGGGCAGUAGUGUGUGUGUAUAGGUGACGUAGUGUGUGUAGGGGUUGUAGAGAGGGUGUGUUUUGAGAAUGUUGUAUGUGUUUGCUUACAAUGAAUGUAGUGUGUGUGUAGGUGGUGCAGUGUGUGUGUGUAAGAGAUCUAGUGUGUAAAGGACCCAGAGUGUGUAUAGAAGAUUGUGUGUGUGUGUGUGUGUGUAGAGGAUUAAGAGUUCAUAUAGGGUAAGGGAUCUAAUGUGUAUCUGGAGCGUAAUGUGUGUAGUGGUGCAGUGUGUGGGGUGCUGUAGUGUGUGUGUAUAUAUAUUUAGAAUAUAUUUGGACUUAUUGUAUGUGUGAGGGGCGCAGUGUGUGUAUGUAAGAGGGGUGCUGUGUGUGAGGGUGUUUUUAUCUGCCGUCACAUUCUAGGUUUCUAAAUUUUCUUUGUCUGUUAACUCACUGAGGGUUAUUUUAUAUUUUAUAUAUAUAUAUAUAUAUAUAUAUAUAUAUGUGUGUGUGCUGUAUAUGUGUGGGAGUGAGGGUGCUGUCUGUCUGAGGGUGCUGUCUGUCUGAGGGUGCUGUCUGUGUCUGAGGGUGUUGUGUGUGUCUGGGGGUGCUGUGUGUGUCUGGGGGCUGUGUGUGUCUGGGGUCUGUUAGGGAAUUUAUUUAAAAUAAUUUUUUUUAUUAAUAAUUUUAAAAAAAAGUUAUGCCCCCCCCCUCCCUUCUUACCUUUAUCCUGGGAGGGGGGGAGGAGAUCUGUUCUGCCUGGGGGGGAGGAGAUCCGAUCUGCCAUCCUUCCCUGGUGGUCCAGUGGUGAGAGUGAACGCUAACCUGCAGGUUAGAGUUCACUCUCGCGAGAUCUGAGCGUUGCCGUGGUAACCGCAGCAACGCUCAGAAUCCCGCAAGAGGACCCGGCGGAGCUGCUGGUUAGGGCUCCGCCGGGUCCUCUCUCCUGCCUCCCUCAUUCACUCCCGCACUUGCGGCCGCAUCUCCAUGCCUCUGGGCCGGUGAGGGAGAUCUUUGAUCUCCCCACCGGCCCAUGGAGGCACACAGCAGGGCUGGCGCUCGGGUAGCGCUGGCCCUGCAGGGGCUGACAGGGGAGAUUCUGUGAUCUCCCCUGUCGGCCUCGGCCCAUGGCCAUCGCGGCCCACCAGGCAUUUGCCCUCCGUGCCCGAUGGCCAGUCCGGGCCUGUUGAUAGCCAUUAGCAGUUGUUAGAGGUUUGGUUUGAUUGGAUGAUAACCAUUAGUAUCUAUUAGAAGUUUGAUUUGAUUAAAAUAGUAACCAUUAGUAAUGGUUACAGUUAUUUCUUUAUUAGGGAUGGAGAUUAGACUUGCACCGUAAGGAAAUUAAGGUCAGCCAAACCAUUUUGGCUUGACAGAAUUUUGGAACUGAGAUUCCAAUUCAGAAACUGAAUCAGUAGAACAGAAGAGUGUGUGAAAAUGGGCCAAUUAGUGUGUUGCAAAAUAUAUACAUAUUGUAAUAUUAUUUAUGUAUUUUGCGGUACACUGAUAGGAUCAUCUGGUUUGGUUGGUGAGAAAAAGUAAGAGACAGAGUAAAAAAUAAGCGGAGCAGUAUAAAAAAUCUUUAUAUUUAUAUAUUCUAUAUUUAUUAAAUUAGAGAUAGAUCUUUUUAAAUGCUCUUUAUUUUUUCCUCUAUUGGUCAUUUCCACCUUGAUCUGUGAAUAAAAUCCACAUUUCGUAGUUGUCUACUAGCCAUUAAUCAGAUUUUUUCCCCCAACAAUCAUCUAAUUUUUUGGCAAUUCAAGUGGAAUGUAGAAUCACCUGCUCACCUAAACAUGCUCAUCAUUGAGUGAAUAGACAGCAAAAUUCAUGGUUCCUUCAAAGACAGCAAGUCUACCAACCCUAAAGGCAGCAGAGCUCCCCACACCGUCACAUUUUCAUUAACCAGAUUGUAAUUUUGGCAUGUUCUUACUGUGACAUGCUAUGUUUGCUUCAUGCCAGGCAAAUUUGUAUGUUCCACUUUUGGUGUGUCUGUCCACAGAUCAUUACCCCAAAAGGCCUGGUGGUCAUUAAUCUGAGAUUUGGGUAAUGUAAAAGGAAUAGUAACAUUUCUCUAAAUUCUACCUUUCAAGUUUCCAUUACGUUUUUACUCAGUUUCUUUCUGAUUAUUAGAUCAGGGUUCAUAGAUUGUGCUGUCCGUUGGAUGUUGUCUUUGGUAUUUUUGUGUUUUUACCGUGAGUCAUUGCUGUGCCGCUGGGGGAGUUUUGGCAGACUGGCCCCUACUGGUAAGAUUCACUACUUUUUCAAGUUAUAUUUAUGUGGAUAUUAUGCCUCUCACUGUGGUUCAUUGAAGUCCCAGAACUUUAGAAAUUGUUUUCUUACCCUUUCCAGAAUGAAAAAUCUCAGCAAUAUUUUCUCUCAUGUAUUUUGGAAUGUAAUUGAGUAUGUAUGGGCUAUUUGUUACAAACCUAUUGCCUAUUUCACAUUAAUGUUACAGUUCUAUGGAGGUCAUAUUCAGAUUCAUCAGGGCUGUCAAGCAUCAAUCUUUGGUGAGUCUACUCUAACUGAAUUAUAAAUUACUUUUGGUUAAUGACUUGAUUGGCCAACUAGUGGUGGCAUUUACUUUUCAUACAGAUGACCAGUUUGUGUAACGUUUGGGGAACCUUUUGCUCUUUUUCUGAAAUAACUUGAAGCAAUUCAAUUCAGUGUGACAAUUAUGCUAAAAUAGAUUUUAUAAAUGAGACAUAUCCAUGUUUUUAUAACACUGUAGAUAGAGGUGAAACGUCUGUGUGUCUAUGUUCGAGUGUAAAGACAUUUUAAAUUUUACAGUGUGACGAACCGAAGCUCGUCAUGGGCUCUUGGAGGUGCCUGAUUGCCAGUCUCCUGCCUCAGGACUAUGGGCCCUGCAAUAUACCUUGCCAAAUUCACUUUAAAAACCUCCGUUCAAAUGAUUUAUGUACUCUUGUACUCCAGUAUGCGAGACCGACAAUUAGCCCAGGUUCCUUAGAAACUGUUUUGGGCAUAGAACCAUGUGCACGGUCGGUCAAAAUUAUGACUUCCAUGGAAAUCCCGAACCCCUGAAUCGAUCUGGGUGAUUUUUGGACAUGUUGGUCCCCCAGAUUGGGGCGAUCAGGGUAUGUGACAUUUGUGGGGUUUCCAUCUGUUUUGGGGGUACUUUCAGGUUAUUGUAAAAUAUGUUUUCUGUGCCUGCAGAUAAUUCAGUUUAGUACAGUUUCUGACUAUUAUCUCUCAGGCACAGGGGAGGGAUUAUUCUGUUUUGUGUGGGAGUGUCCUGGACCUGAGAGCCAAUGUAAUUACAGUGUGUACUUUGUCACAGUCCCCUCUCAGGUCCAGUGGGGAAUGCCCCAGAAUAUGUUAAUGGAAAACCCCUGACAUGGGGACUUGCAUAUAAGGCCAGUUGUGGCUGCCAAUGCAGGAGUUCCUCUUCACCCUCAACAUAGAGCCUCGUCUCAUGAGUGGAGGGAAUAGCUAUAUUCACUCUGGGAAUUGCUAUACUCAUUAUACUCCCUUAGAUUAUAAUCAUUAGUUCUUGUAAGACCUAUCCUGCUUUAAUCUCUGGAUUGGGAGAGGUCUACACACUGGAACCUGGAUCCUGAUCUUGGGUCCAGGGUGGGUGGAGGACAGCGAGACCCCAACCAAGCUGUAACGUUAGCUGUGGGGUUUAUGGUGUUUAUGGUGUCUAGUGGAGUGCUUGGAGUACUCGGUGAGCACUAGGAAGCAUCAAUUGGUGAAGGCACCCAGUCAGGUUGCCAGGUGGUCCAUCACUUACAGCACAUGCAAAUAAUUUGAAUUUUAAUUAUAUUGAACGGCAAAGCAAGUAAAAUAAUUAUACAAAGUGUAGAAUUUAAUGAGAUGAAUUUGUGGCCCAGACGGAUAUAUUGAAUUCACUGGAUAGGUUUGUGAAUAUAAGCUUUACCCAUAAGAUGAGAAAAAACAAUAAAAAAUGAAAAAUCUAAUCUCUUAUUGUGGUGGUGUCUUGAACGAGGACUGGAGAGAUCUAAGACGCUUCCCUUCACAUCUGGGGAGAAAACAGAAUUCAGUAACUUGGAAAUUCAACUCUGAGUGUAGAUACUUUAAAAUAGUUGGCUAUUGCACAGCGAAUCAGUAUGAUUUUGCUAAACCUUUUCAUACAACAGAUAAAGUCGCAUUUAUCUUUAACCAAAAUGUUUUUUAUAGAUUUGGUUAAUACACCUUAAGCACAAUUUGUUUUAUGGAGCUCCUAACUGUAAGACAAAAACUAAAUUGUGAUGAAAAAGUGAAAGGAAUAUAUUUAAAGUGUUGCCUUUAAAUAUUAGAGAUAAGUGGCUUCCAGCAGUUAAGGUAUAGAGUGAUAAGGCUGUUUGUUUUGUUUGGAGCAUUUCAGAAGAGAUUUCAAAAAAAAAAAAAAAAUGAUCCUUUUUAGUCCUGACUUGUUAGUAUUCAUGAACUGAUUAGGUAUGACACAGUUAAAUACACGACCUCCUUUCCAGGGAAGAUAAGGCGGGACGCGCAGAAUAUAAAUCAGUGUAUAUAAAUGACCGCUCGGUUCUUAAUUCGCUUUGCAUAUCUAAUCAUCUGCACAGAGUUCUCUAGGCACCCAAACUACAUUUGCAUUAAACGCCAAUUUGCACUUCGUAAUGUAUAGGACAGGCAUAUCAACAUCAGGAACGAGUGAAUGAGGGAGAUGUGUAGGGCGAGCAAAGGGAUAAAAGGGUGUCGUGUUGGGCAGGAGGGUGGGGAGGGGAAAUCAAACAAGCUGAGGCUAUAAGACAGAGAUGGGAGAUAAAAUGGAAAAAAAAAGAUGUGAGAAUGAUUGAAUGAUACAGGAAUGGUGGAAGGAGGAAGAUAAGAGGGAAGAAUUUGCAAGGAAGGAGAUGCAAGCUGCGAAGGGGAGUAGUAGCAAAGUUUGAGAUGAUAAAUGGAAAAGAAGUGUCUGAAACAGACAGAAGAAAAGUGAGCGGGUAGGUAUAGGAAAGAUGAAAGUGAGAGUAUGUGGUGGAGAUUGGAAGCAAGAAGGAUAAAAUGACAGAGAGAUAAUGGGGAGAUCUGGUAUGAGAGCAAGAGGAAGAAGGUGUGACAGAGCGGUCGUGGUAACCAUAAAUAUGGUAAAAAUGAACAUUAAAACAUUUUUGCAAACUUCUAAUGAAAACCUUAUCUUCAGCAAUCAAAGUCGGAUCAUUGAAUAUUAUAGAUAAUGAGGCAAAAGGAAAAGACAUCUGACUAAGGGAGACAAGGAUAAAUGAUUGAUGGAAGGUUCUAAAAAGUCCCCACCCCCCCACACACAUGCAGACAAACAGAUACACACACAGACACACAUACAAACACAUAUACAGACAUACAGACACAUGCAUACAAACACACACAAACACACAGAGAUCCAUACAUACAGACACACAGAGGCACGUACGUACGUACAUACAGACACACAUACACACAUACACACACACAUACACACAGACAUGUAGGCACACACACAUACAUACAGAUGAAUAUACACACAUACAUACACACAUACACACAUACACACAGAGACACAUUUAGCUGGAUAGACACACAUACAGACACACAUAGACAUACAUACACAAACACGCAGACAUACAGACACACAGACAUACAGACACACACACAUACAGACAGAUAUACAUAAACACACAUAGACAUACACAUACAGACACACACACACACACACAGACAGACACACACACAGAUAUACAGACACACCCAGAUAUACCGAUACAGACAUUCUCUAUCACACACACACACAUACAAACUGUUAAAAUAAUUUAGUGACUUACCUGGGGUCCAGUGGCUGCCUCAUGCUGAGGGAAGUCAGAGCUCCCACUCUGACUCCCUCCUCUCCUCCUAGGUGGCGCUCAGUUGGCUGGGAUUAAGUGACGGCUUCCUCCCAGCUCUGACAUCAUCAAUGGGGCCCGGUCGCACUCUUAAAGCGCCGCAGUGCUGACCGGGCCCCAGGAAAUCCAUUGCCAUCGGGUGGGCCCAAGAGCAUGGGCCACCCAAUGGGCUCCUUCAAUGCAGCUCCGGCGUUUUUUCCGAGCAGUCAGGGCCGCACCAAAAUGCUGGCGGGCACCCUGGUCGCAGCUGCGACCCCUGCGACCGCGGUAGUUCCGCCAGUGGUGAUGACUCAUCAUAACAACUGAAUAACUCAGUAGCCCAAUAGCUUAAAUUAUUUAACCAAUCAUUCACCUUAGUCUAAUUUAAUAAAGUAACAGUGCAGGACACUGAUACAAUAGCAACAUCACCAAUUCAACAAUACAAUUCUGAUCUAGCAGUCCACCAUGCUCCAACAAGUAAUGGCCAACUUACAGCCAAUGGACAUGUGCACGGUAAAACAUGUUUGCUUCUCUCAAAUUUAUUUUGUUUGGAUUUCAAAGAUUUUUUUGGUUCUGGAGAAUUUUUGCAAAAACGUUUAGUUCAAAAGUUAGAAGAAUUUCAACCUAAAUAUUGCCAGGCAAGUUACCCUAAAAUCAAGAAAAAAAAGUUGUCUAUAGUGUCCCACCAACAAGAAAGCAACUCUCAAACAGUAAAUCAGUGAUUCAAAGAUUGUCACGGUGCCAGCUGGGUCUGCUCCUAUCGUAGAGCGGUCUUGGACCCGGUGGGCGCACCUUGUUCAGCUGGAUUCCCACUGGGAAAUGGGAAUGCCGCUUGCUCUUCCUACAUGUCUCCAGCAUGUUCCAUCCGGAGUGUUCCAUAAUUUGAAGUACCCGGAUAGAUAUUUUAAAGGUAAUAAUUGCCUCUCUCUAAGUGCUACACUUUUUAUUCUUUACUAUUUGUUGGUGUUAUUUCGGAAAAGUUACACUUACUGGUGUUUAGUUGCUAUUUAUUUAGAUUCCCUUUGGAAACUCUGCUUUCCUGACCUCGGCCUGCUUUCUUCCAUAUAGUGUUAAGUGCGGCUAUUCUAUGGUCUGGUAACACAUUUUGGAUUCUUUAUUUUAAUUUCUUUGUUACUUACGUUCUGCAUGUUGGGCAUUUAAUGUAUCGUGACAAAGAUGGUGAAAGGCAGUGGUUACUAACAAAUUUCACUGCCAUCCGAAGUCUGUAUCAACCAAAACGGCUAGGAUGUCAUGCUAUUCACUUUAUUCAGAAUCUGGAUUUCAGAAAUUCGAACUGACACCCAACUGAACCGAAUCUACAAGUGAUUUUACUGGGCGAAAACAGCCCUAAAACUCAAUUUACUUAAUUAGCAGGACACAGAGCACAAAGUUCUAGCCCCAGAUUCCACUGUCCUCUCCAAUCAGCCCAGUGUGAACAUCUUUCCUAUCUCCAGUCAAUAAAGCGUGGGGUGCCCCCAAGGAGAAUUCCUAGACAUAUUAUAACAUAUUAUAACUGCUACUGUUCUACUUAAUGCAUCUCCAUUUCACUUUACCUUUCCAUUCCUUCUCGGGCUGGCAUUAAGUUCAAUAAAACAUGUUAUAUACACUGUAUGAAUUAUUUUAUGUUUCCCUGCUUUUAAACCAAGUGAGAAGCAGAGACGGCUUUCUCCGAUCCCAGGGGAGACGAAGGCCUGGAGUUUUAUGCUAAUAUAAUUGUUUGUGGGUGUUUGGAAAGCUAAAGUGAUGUUCCCACAGCAGAAUCCAGGAGUCAAACAAGCAGAUACAAAAUGUUCUUCAAUGCAGGAAACUCCUUCGCUGCCAGAAUGAGGGCUGUCAAAAUAAUAUCCAUAUUUAAUGCAGACGCUACAAUAACUGCAAAAUGCGGAGAGAGAGAACAGAUAGAGAGCAAGUGUCUCUUCCAUCGUGCAGCCAGAGAUAAGCGUUAUUAUAUCUUCUCUGUCUUCCAUUGUGGAAAGUCAUGCCAGUCUGGAGAACGUCUUUAUUAAUCGUGGCAUUUCUCGGGUGUCUUUGUUUUUCUUUCUUUGUAAAUGUAGAACUGUCUGAGCAUUUCAGGAUUCCAAAUUAGAACUAGAAUUAGCCAAUGGGUGUUGAGCAGCAGACAGAUGUGUUUCUGAUUGGCUGCAUAGUGCUCCUUGAUUUGUGUAUUUCUCAGCACUCUGCUUCAUCAAUAAAAUAAUUUAAUGCGCACUAUAGUCACUGUAACAGCUUCCUCUCAUCGCAGUGGUUAUAGUGUCUGGAAUCCUGUUGCGCUGCCCUUCCAUUCAGCAUUCAAUCAUUUUUAAUCUUUUAAUGCUAAAUAAGAGUCCACAGAAGCCCAUAACCAAUGUGCUUCUCGGACUAUUGGUGGCCAAAGACCCGUAUUUAGUGUUAAGCUCCUCGAAAAAUGUUUUCACAGUGAAAGGGUGGACUAAAAGCACUAUAACUACUUCAAUGAGAUAAAAUGGUUAUAGUACCUACAAUGUCCCUUUAAAGCGACACUCCAGGUUCCCACACACGUUAGAUACACUGUGUAGGUUAGGUUACAGUUAGUUAUACUGGGUGGGUUUAUAUUAUUAAAGGGACACUCCAGGCUCCCACACACGUUAGAUGCACUGUGUAGGUUAGGUUACAGUUAGUUAUACUGGGUGGGUUUAUAUUAUUAAAGGGACACUCCAGGUUCCCACACACGUUAGAUGCACUGUGUAGGUUAGGUUACAGUUAGUUAUACUGGGAGGGUUUAUAUUAUUAAAGGGACACUCCAGGUUCCCACACACGUUAGAUGCACUGUGUAGGUUAGGUUACAGUUAUACUGGGUGGGUUUAUAUUAUUAAAGGGACACUCCAGGCUCCCACACACGUUAGAUGCACUGUGUAGGUUAGGUUACAGUUAGUUAUACUGGGUGGGUUUAUAUUAUUAAAGGGACACUCCAUGCUCCCACGCACGUUAGAUGCACUGUGUAGGUUAGGUUACAGUUAGUUAUACUGGGUGGGUUUAUAUUAUUAAAGGGACACUCCAGGCUCCCACACACGUUAGAUGCACUGUGUAGGUUAGGUUACAGUUAGUUAUACUGGGUGGGUUUAUAUUAUUAAAGGGACACUCCAGGCUCCCACACACGUUAGAUGCACUGUGUAGGAUAGGUUACAGUUAGUUAUACUGGGUGGGUUUAUAUUAUUAAAGGGACACUCCAGGCUCCCACACACGUUAGAUGCACUGUGUAGGUUAGGUUACAGUUAGUUAUAAUGGGUAGGUUUAUAUUAUUAAAGGGACACUCCAGGCUCCCACACACGUUAGGUGCACUGUGUAGGUUAGGUUACAGUUAGUUAUACCGGGUGGGUUUAUAUUAUUAAAGGGACACUUCAGGCUCCCACACACGUUAGAUGCACUGUGUAGGUUAGGUUACAGUUAGUUAUACCGGGUGGGUUUAUAUUAUUAAAGGGACACUCCAGGCUCCCACACACAUUAGGUGCACUGUGUAGGUUAGGUUACAGUUAGUUAUACCGGGUGGGUUUAUAUUAUUAAAGGGACACUCCAGGCUCCCACACACGUUAGAUGCACUGUGUAGUUUAGGUUACAGUUAGUUAUACUGGGUGGGUUUAUAUUAUUAAAGGGACACUCCAGGCUCCCACACACGUUAGGAUGCACUGUGUAGGUUAGGUUACAGUUAGUUAUACUGGGUGGGUUUAUAUUAUUAAAGGGACACUCCAGGCUCCCACACACGUUAGGUGCACUGUGUAGGUUAGGUUACAGUUAGUUAUACUGGGUGGGUUUAUAUUAUUAAAGGGACACUCCAGGCUCCCACACACGUUAGGUGCACUGUGUAGGUUAGGUUACAGUUAGUUAUACUGGGUGGGUUUAUAUUAUUAAAGGGACACUCCAGGCUCCCACACACAUUAGAUGCACUGUGUAGUUUAGGUUACAGUUAGUUAUACUGGGUGGGUUUAUAUUAUUAAAGGACACUCCAGGCUCCCACACACGUUAGGUGCACUGUGUAGGUUAGGUUACAGUUAGUUAUACUGGGUGGGUUUAUAUUAUUAAAGGGACACUCCAGGCUCCCACACACGUUAGAUGCACUGUGUAGGUUAGGUUACAGUUAGUUAUACUGGGUGGGUUUAUAUUAUUAAAGGGACACUCCAGGCUCCCACACACGUUAGAUGCACUGUGUAGGUUAGGUUACAGUUAGUUAUACUGGGUGGGUUUAUAUUAUUAAAGGGACACUCCAGGCUCCCACACACGUUAGAUGCACUGUGUAGAUUAUGGUUACAGUUAGUUAUACUGGAUGGGUUUAUAUUAUUAAAGGGACACUCCAGGCUCCCACACGUUAGGUGCACUGUGUAGGUCAGGUUACAGUUAUACUGGGUGGGUUUAUAUUAUUAAAGGGAUACUCCAGGCUCCCACACAUGUUAGAUGCACUGUGUAGGUUAGGUUACGGUUAUACUGGGUGGGUUUAUAUUAUUAAGGGACACUCCAGGCUCCCACACACGUUAGAUGCACUGUGUAGGUUAGGUUACAGUUAGUUAUACUGGGUGGGUUUAUAUUAUUAAAGGGACACUCCAGGCUUCCACACACGUUAGAUGCACUGUGUAGGUUAGGUUACAGUUAGUUAUACUGGAUGGGUUUAUAUUAUUAAAGGGACACUCCAGGCUCCCACACACGUUAGGUGCACUGUGUAGGUUAGGUUACAGUUAGUUAUACUGGGUGGGUUUAUAUUAUUAAAGGGACACUCCAGGCUCCCACACACAUUAGAUGCACUGUGUAGGUUAGGUUACAGUUAGUUAUACGGGGUGGGUUUAUAUUAUUAAGGGACACUCCAGGCUCCCACACACGUUAGAUGCACUGUGUAGGUUAGGUUACAGUUAGUAUACUGGGUGGGUUUAUAUUAUUAAAGGACACUCCAGGCUCCCACACACGUUAGAUGCACUGUGUAGGUUAGGUUACAGUUAGUUUUACUGGGUGGGUUUAUAUUAUUAAAGGGACACUCCAGGCUCCCACACACGUUAGGUGCACUGUGUAGGUUAGGUUACAGUUAGUUAUACUGGUUGGGUUUAUAUUAUUAAAGGGACACUCCAGGCUCCCACACACAUUAGAUGCACUGUGUAGUUUAGGUUACAGUUAGUUAUACUGGGUGGGUUUAUAUUAUUAAAGGACACUCCAGGCUCCCACACACGUUAGGUGCACUGUGUAGGUUAGGUUACAGUUAGUUAUACUGGGUGGGUUUAUAUUAUUAAAGCGACACUCCAGGCUUCCACACACGAUAGAUGCACUGUGUAGGUUAGGUUACAGUUAGUUAUACUGGGUGGGUUUAUAUUAUUAAAGGGACACUCCAGGCUCCCAUACUCGUUAGAUGCACUGUGUAGGUUAGGUUACAGUUAGUUAUACUGGGUGGGUUUAUAUUAUUAAAGGGACACUCCAGGCUCCCACACACGUUAGAUGCACUGUGUAGAUUAGGUUACAGUUAGUUAUACUGGAUGGGUUUAUAUUAUUAAAGGGACACUCCAGGCUCCCACACACGUUAGGUGCACUGUGUAGGUUAGGUUACAGUUAUACUGGGUGGGUUUAUAUUAUUAAAGGGACACUCCAGGCUCCCACACACGUUAGAUGCACUGUGUAGGUUAAGUUACGGUUAUACUGGGUGGGUUUAUAUUAUUAAAGGGACACUCCAGGCUCCCACACACGAUAGAUGCACUGUGUAGGUUAGGUUACAGUUAGUUAUACUGGGUGGGUUUAUAUUAUUAAAGGGACACUCCAGGCUUCCACACACGAUAGAUGCACUGUGUAGGUUAGGUUACAGUUAGUUAUACUGGAUGGGUUUAUAUUAUUAAAGGGACACUCCAGGCUCCCACACACGUUAGGUGCACUGUGUAGGUUAGGUUACAGUUAGUUAUACUGGGUGGGUUUAUAUUUAUAAAGGGACACUCCAGGCUCCCACACACAUUAGAUGCACUGUGUAGGUUAGGUUACAGUUAGUUAUACGGGGUGGGUUUAUAUUAUUAGAGGGACACUCCAGGCUCCCACACACGUUAGAUGCACUGUGUAGGAUAGGUUACAGUUAGCUAUACUGGGUGGGUUUAUAUUAUUAAAGGACACUCCAGGCUCCCACACACGUUAGAUGCACUGUGUAGUUUAGGUUACAGUUAGUUAUACUGGGUGGGUUUAUAUUAUUAAAGGGACACUCCAGGCUCCCACACACGUUAGAUGCACUGUGUAGGUUAGGUUACAGUUAGUUAUAAUGGGUGGGUUUAUAUUAUUAAAGGGACACUCCAGGCUCCCACACACGUUAGAUGCACUGUGUAGGUUAGGUUACAGUUAGUUAUACUGGGUGGGUUUAUAUUAUUAAAGGGACACUCCAGGCUCCCACACACGUUAGAUGCACUGUGUAGGUUGGGUUACAGUUAGUUAUACUGGGUGGGUUUAUAUUAUUAAUGGGACACUCCAGGCUCCCACACACGUUAGAUGCACUGUGUAGGUUGGGUUACAGUUAGUUAUACUGGGUGGGUUUAUAUUAUUAAAGGGACACUCCAGGCUCCCACACACGUUAGAUGCACUGUGUAGGUUAGGUUACAGUUAGUUAUACUGGGUGGGUUUAUAUUAUUAAGGGGACACUCCAGGCUCCCACACACGUUAGGUGCACUGUGUAGGUUAGGUUACAGUUAUACUGGGUGGGUUUAUAUUAUUAAAUGGACACUCCAGGCUCCCACACACGUUAGGUGCACUGUGUAGGUUAGGUUACAGUUAGUUAUACCGGGUGGGUUUAUAUUAUUAAAGGGACACUCCAGGCUCCCACACACGUUAGAUGCACUGUGAAGGAUAGGUUACAGUUAGCUAUACUGGGUGGGUUUAUAUUAUUAAAGGGACACUCCAGGCUCCCACACACGUUAGGUGCACUGUGUAGGUUAGGUUACACUGUGUAGGUUAGGUGGAUUUAUAUUAUUAAAGGGACACUCCAGGCUCCCACACACGUUAGAUGCACUGUGUAGGUUAGGUUACAGUUAUACUGGGUGGGUUUAUAUUAUUAAAGGGACACUUCAGGCUCCCACACACGUUAGGUGCACUGUGUAGGUUAGGUUACAGUUAUAUUGGGUGGGUUUUAAUUAUUAAUGGGACACUUCAGGCUCCCACACAUAUUAGAUGCACUGUGUAGGUUAGGUUACAGUUAUACUGGGUGGGUUUAUAUUAUUAAAGGUACACUCCAGGUUCCUACACACGUUAGAUGCACUGUGUAGGUUAGGUUACAGUUAGUUAUACUGGGUGGGUUUAUAUUAUUACAUGGACACUCCAGGCUCCCACACACGUUAGAUGCACUGUGUAGGUUAGGUUACAGUUAGUUAUACUGGGUGGGUUUAUAUUAUUAAUGGGACACUCCAGGCUCCCACACACGAUAGAUGCACUGUGUAGGUUAGGUUACAGUUCGUUAUACUGGGUGGGUUUAUAUUAUUAAAGGGACACUCCAGGCUCCCACACACGUUAGAUGCACUGUGUAGGUUAGGUUACAGUUAGUUAUACUUGGUGAGUUUAUAUUAUUAAAGGGACACUCCAGGCUCCCACACACGUUAGGUACACUGUGUAGGUUAGGUUACAGUUAGUUAUACUGGGUGGGAGGAAGGAGAGGAGAGGAGGCAGUCAGAGUAGGAACUCUGACUCCCAUCAGCCUGAGCCACCACUGGACCCCAGGGACACCAACCUCCUUCAUCUAAAAUUUAGGGAACAGGAGGGUGACUUAUGUGUGUGUGUGUAUGUCUCUGUAUGUGUGUGUGUUAGUGUGUCUGUAUGUAUGUGUGUAUGGCUCUGUAUUUAUGUAUGUCUCUGUAUGUAUGUGUGUCUCUGUAUCUCUGUGUGUGUGUGUGUAUGUCUCUGUAUGUGUGUGUGUCUCUGUGUGUAAGUGUUUGUGUAUCUGCACGUGUGUCUGCAUGUAUAUAUGUAUCUUUGUGUUUCUGCAUUUGCAUGUGUGUGUAUCUGUAUGUGUUAUAUGGUGUGUAUCUGCAUGUAUGUCAGUGUGUGUUCGUAUAUCUGCAUGUGUGUCAGUUUAUGCAGGGGUUUGUCUGUGUACAUGUCACCCCACCACACACUGCCACCCCCUUCAAACUGCCACACUCACAAUAACUCCACCAAUCCUUUCACUCACCCAUGCCAUACUCACCACCCAUUGCUCUGCCAUAUCCACCCCAUUACACUCACCUUCUCUCACACUGUCACACUCACCCCCUCAAUCCUUUCACUCACCCAUGCCAUACUCACCACCCAUUGCUCUGCCAUAUCCACCCCAUUACACUCACCUUCUCUCACACUGUCACACUCACCCCCCCAAUCCUUUCACUCACCCAUGCCAUACUCACCACCCAUUGCUCUGCCAUAUCCACCCCAUUACACUCACCUUCUCUCACACUGUCACACUCACCCCCCCAAUCCUAUCACUCACCCAUGCCAUACUCAUCACCCAUUGCUCUGCCAUAUUCACCCCAUUACACUCGCCUUUUCUCACACUGUCACACUAACCCUGCCAAUCCUGUCACACACUUUCUCCAUCACUUUGUCACACUCGCCCCCUUUCACCCUGCCACACUCACCCUAUCUCAUUAACCGCUCCAUUUCUCUCAUACUCAACCCCUGAACCAUGCCACACCAACCCUGUGGGUUGUGAAUGAGACGCAUGGAAGGGCUAAGGGGCUGGGGGGAGGGUUAGACGUAUAGGGGGGGCCCAGGGUAAUUUUUGCACCUGGGCCCUAUGGUUUCUAGUUAUGCCUCUGCUCGUGUUAUACCUUCUGGGACAGAGAAAGAGGUGGAUGUAGUGAGUAGCAGAGAGGGGACAUGGUACAUUGUACACAGUGCGCAAAGUCAGCUUUACGGCAACUAUUUUAUAGCCAGUCCACAAAAGCUUUGUUUUCCUACAUCCCUCCUAAGGGCAUGUGAAGUAUAGUGGUUUUGGGGGGAUUAAUGUGCCAAUUCCAUGGGCGUUCGGCUUAGAGCUGCAGCAUCGUUAGUCCCUAUGUCAUGUUAAUUUGACCUUAAACAAUAAUGCAAAUUAUAAAGAUGAUUGAAAAAUGUAAACAGUUUGUCAAUAUACUUAUCUGCUAACAAUGACUCUAUUAUUUCACAAACCUAUAGCCAUUAAUGCCAUAUUAACAGUGUCUGAAUAUCAUGGGAUUCCCUGUCUGCACUCCCAGAAUCUUUACCAAUCCUGUGACUAUAUUGGCUACAAUCUCCUUUCUAAAAUAACCGUAUUUUGCAUAUUUGGAACACUUUUAUGUAAUAUACCUGGGAAGGAAUGGGUUACUAUGCAGAGUAUUUUAUUUCAAGCUUCUUACGGUAACAGAUAAAAUACAUGGUUAUUAAUAUUGAAAAGGACAUUAGCGUAUUUUUAUGAGUUGAGACUCGUGGGACGCAUUGGGUUAAAUAAUGCAAUAACGGAAUUCUCGAACAGCCGUUAAAGGGACAGUAAUGUUUAGUUUAUUGUCAAUAAUACUUAAGAGAUAUGUCUUGUAAAGUAUAACGUGCGUGCCCAAAUAUUGGCGAUGAGUGGGAGCUCUCUCAAGGCAACUUAUUGCCAAUUCUUUUGAAACCAUUUUGUUUAAUGCAGGCUGUGUCAGUCACAGCCAGGGGAGGUAUGGCCAGGGCUGCAUUAACAGAAACAAGAGUGAGACUGCAGGGCCUGAUCUAUACACCAAAACUCUCUAUUAAGAUAACGUUGUUUUGGUGCUUCGAGUGCCCUUUAAGGUCAAGGAUUACAACAAAAACAAAGAAUAUGAGACUCUGAGAAUAGACAAAAGCUUAGAGAAACUCAGUAGCUUGUCCGCCGGUAAAAAUAUAGGUUUUCGUUCAGAUGGCAUAUUUCAUAGUGGGUAUCAUCAGCAAUAUUCUAUGUACCAUCAUACUUCAUGUUAAUAGCUGUCUAUACCUUUUGUGAAUAAUUUUCAAAUUUGUGUAACCUUUUUUUAUCAUAGAGAGACAGACAAAAAUAAAUGUCCAAUAAGAGCGGGCAUUUUGGGCACAGGGCAUCAUCAUUAAAUCAUAGUUGUGAGGUGACGGCUGUCCGUUAAGCUGAAUGAACUGUACCGUGCCAAGAUGGAAUGAUAGACAGUUAUACACAAAAAUCUAUAGAAUGGUGAUUUAUUAAUAAAAUACGUUUUGUAAAUGUCAGUUUACAGGUAACAUUUUUGACAAAAUAUUGAUGAUAGAAACGUAUCCUCUGUGCAACCAGAAUAGGUAACUACAGCACUCAAUCCUUGCCGCAAAGUUCAAUUGAUCACACGUAGAGUUCAUUGUAUCUCAGACCCCGAAGACAAGUUCUGGCUAGUGUACGAUUUAUUGAUGACAUUGUAUUACUUAUCUUAAGCAUGGUUAAAUACAACAGAAAACAAACCAAUACUAUCACCACAAUCACGUGUGAAUAGUGUGAAAUAAGUAUGCAAUAUACUUAUCAGGUAAAUCAAGUGGGCAGCCUCCCAGGUAGUGAUCUUUAGACCAGAGUACAAGCAAAACACAUAUGGGAUACGGCUGUGGAAUCUAAAAAGAACACAGACAAAAGAGAGGUCUCUGGGGAAGUUACAAGUGUUGGACGAAACGCGUAAGACCACAACUACUGCUGUUUUACCAAUUUUAUUUGAUUUAUAAUAAAAGCUGUUAUUUUAUACUACCAUCCGGAGUCCUGAUUUCCUGUAGCCCCAUGUAGCGAAAGCGCAGCUAAGUGGAAAGGGCCCUUGACAGGGCUCGGAGGAAGCAUGUAGGGAUUGAUGGUUUGGGGGUUGGGCUAUAUAAAUAGGCAGCCAUCUUAGCAAAGUCACUUUAUACUUGCCUACCUGGCUGAGUUUGUCCCACGGAGGGAUAGGGAGCUGAAGGAGAGGAAAUAGGCUCCCCAUGAGGGUGGUUAAUGGAAAUGGUUGAAUAUGGUUAUUGGUAAGUUUGGUAGGUUUCGAGCCCUGUCGGUGGCUCAGAACCUGGUGGGGUAGGGGUAUCCGGGUAUACCCCUACCAUGAUUAAUUAACAAUGUUGGCAUUUUAAGUUAUGUUCAUAUUUGAAUACUGUUAUAUGUUAUUUAUUUAUAUAUAGGCGUCAUUGCCUUUUAUAUCUAACUGAAGGAUACGGAUGUGAUGGCGGGGUGUGGGGCAAUGACCUGUUUUUUCUAUGUUAAUUUAUUAUUACUAUUUAAUAAAAGCUGGAGACAAUUUUGCCCCAUAUAGCCUAAUGUCUUUGUUUUAUUGGGAUAGGGAUGUGGGGGUUUUGUCCUGAUAUCAUCUGCCCAUAUGGUGACUAUAGCCCCCCAAUUACAUCGGGGGAGGCACCCUUUGAGCGCAUAAUACGUCUACAUCUUGUGAGUGCAUUUUUGUACAGCGCACAUUAUUUGUUAAAAUUGGAUUACACUAUGUUUUGUCUGUCUUCUUUUUAUGGGUUUCGCUUGUUAGCUAAAGCAUGCAUUGUCACUGACACAUUUGUAGUUGACUUUAUAUACUGAUAAACACUUAUUUAACAACUUAAUUUACUGCAACCACUUAUAGGUCUACAGAAGAAAGAAACAUUAAGUAGAUUUUAUUAUUAGUUUAUUAGCUUGUGUUUUCCUUUUGGGGGGCUUACCCUUUGUCCUGACCUAAAGACACCCUUUUUUAUACACACUUAAACAAACACACAUAUUCAUAUACGCACACACCAACAAACACACAUAUUCAUAUACGCACACACCAACAAAUACACAUAUUCAUAUAUGCACACACCAACAAACACACAUGCAGUCUUAUACACGCACACACCAACAAACACGCAUAUUCAUAUACGCACACACAAACAAACACACACAUAUUCAUAUACGCACACACCAACAAACACACAUAUUCAUAUACGCACACACCAACAAACACGCAUAUUUAUAUACGCACACACCAACAAACACGCAUAUUCAUAUACGCACACACCAACAAACACACAUAUUCAUAUACGCAUACACCAACAAACACUCAUAUUCAUAUACGCACACACCAACAAACACACAUAUUCAUAUACGCACACACCAACAAACACACAUAUUCAUAUACGCACACACCAACAAACACGCAUAUUCAUAUACGCACACACCAACAAACACGCAUAUUCAUAUACGCACACACCAACAAAUACACAUGCACUCUUAUACACGCACACACCAACAAACACGCAUAUUCAUAUACGCACACACCAACAAACACACAUGCACUCUAUACACGCACACACCAACAAACACACACACAACACGCAUAUUCAUAUACGCACACACCAACAAACACAUAUUCAUAUACGCACACACCAACAAACACGCAUAUUCAUAUACGCACACACCAACAAACACGCAUAUUCAUAUACGCACACACCAACAAAUACACAUGCACUCUUAUACACGCACACACCAACAAACACACAUAUUCAUAUACGCACACACCAACAAAUACACAUGCACUCUUAUACACGCACACACCAACAAACACACAUAUUCAUAUACGCACACACCAACAAAUACACAUGCACUCUUAUACACGCACACACCGCCAGUCUGUACACAUAAAUUGCUUUUACCUGUCCUUAUCCCAAAAAGCAGAUCAUGAUAUAUAUCGUCAGGGCACACCAGGUUCCAACGUAGAUUUAUUGCCAUAAACUCGAAAUUUCUAGCUUGGAACAUCUUGGAUCACAGAUAGAAUGGUCUCAGUAAAGAUUACCAACUUAUCUUUCCAUUCCAGGGAAGGGACUGUAAUUGCCACAAGUCAGCAGGAGUAGAUAAUAAUGGGGGGAGGGGGGGUGGGCGGGGGGCGCUGCAAGAUUAUGGCCCGCAGAAAUGCGCUAUAAACAAGCUUGUUGUUGUAUCAUUACUAAGGAGACUUAAGAAAAGAAACAUUGCGCGUUUACAUUUGACCUUCCCCAACCUUUCUGAAUGCAUUGUGUAAGUGCCCCUUAUUAAAACCGGAAUUUGGGAAACUAAAAUCCCAUUAAACAAAAUAAAGAAAUAGACGUUUCUCUUCUCUAGUGUUUGAGAACAAAGUGGACUUUUUAAGAUGAAUGGUUAUUUUUUUUUAUAUUGAACAGCCCUCCAGAGACCCACGGCCUCAUCUGCUGUGUGAAGUUUUGUGUUUUUAUUUUGAAAUUGAUGUAAAUUCUCUAAUACCUUCUAAACUUAGCUGGUUUAUUCACCAGCGAAUCGUGGCGAAUUGCAAAUAAUAAAGAGAACUAGCUGUAAUGGUAGCAUUUACCAUCAGAUUUCCCUCUCCUAAAAUGUGAUUAUUUUUUUUUACCAAUCUCCCGCCAUUCAUGUUUAGCGAAUAAACUAUUAUGUGAAAAUUGGUGUUUUUAGCAGCAGGCGCAGGGACUGGCACAGAUAGACAUAUUGAGAAAUAAUCUGAGAGGCCUCCAUUUUGCAAAGUCUUGACAGGCGCAUAGUCACCAUAUGGACAGGUGGAAUUACCCCCAAAACUUACCCCAAAAACACACUGACACUGAUGUAUGGGUCAAUAUGUCCACAGCUUUAUUAAUGUUGAUAACAAUAAAUUAAAGUCAUUGCCCAGCCCCCAUUACGCCAUAUAACAUCAUAUGUCCCCGAAACAAAAGGCAAUGACCCAUUCUUUCUGUAAAUAUAAAUAACAUCAACGACCUUAAUAACAAACAUCAUAAACAUAAUAUAAGUGCCAAACUUAGUUAAAUAACCAUGGUAGGGACAUACCCAGACACCUCUACCACCCACCAGAAUCUGAGCCACCACCGAGCUCGAAACCUACCAAAGUUCAUAACGAACCGUUUAACCAGACUCUUCACCAGCAGCCUAACUGCCCUAUUCUAUUUACACUACCCCAGAGUCGGUUUGUCCCCUAAUGUUUCUCUCUCUAGCCCUGCCGCUGUGACCAAACGGGAGCUAACACCCCUUACCCUUUACAUGGGAGAGUGGGAGGGACAAUUUAGGCCAGGUAAGCAGAUUAAAAGUGCUUGUCACUACAAUGGUGUCCUAUUUAUACUGGGCCAAGCCCUUUUUACACUCUCACUCCACUCCCACAAGGGGCCUUCCUCCUAUGCCCGCCUCCUAGCUCUGUCAAGCCCCUUUCCACUAAGCUGCGCUUGUUCCAUAGGGUUGGGUUACAUUGUUGUUUUGCAAUAAUCAAUGUAUCAGAUUUUGCAAAGUCUAGCCUAGAAUUCUUUGUGUGAUCCUGCGUAUUGUAGGAAAGCUAGUGAGUCUUGGAAUUUGUUUGGGGAGAUUGAAUACUUCACGUGGAUUAAUAAUAAAUUCUGGAGAGUAAGACAAACUGUUACAAAUAACAUUUUAGUAUUUUACAAGAAAUUCUGUUUUUAUGGAUAAAAUCAUAUUUAUUAAAAUGUGCACCAUGUUAAUUUGCAAACCUACCAACACUUUACAUGGGCAUAGAGGGACGUUUUCAUUUUAGUGGUGUGCGGGUAAGGGUGUGGCCAGGGGCGGUCUGUUCUGGCUGUGAGUGGGUGUGUGGCCAGGGGCGGUCUGUUCUGGCUGUGGGUGGGUGUGUGGCCAGGGGCGGUCUGUUCUGGCUGUGAGUGGGUUUGUGGCCAGGGGCAGUCUGUUCUGGCUGUGAGUGGGUGUGUGGCCAGGGGUGGUCUGUUCUGGCUGUGAGUGAGUGUGUGGCCAGGGGCGGUCUGUUCUGGCAGUAAGUGGCUGUGGCCAGGGGGCAGGGCAGUCUGUUCUGGCUGUGAGUGGGUGUGUGGCCAGGGGCGGUCUGUUCUGGCUGUGAGUGAGUGUGUGGCCAGGGGCGGUCUUUUCUGGCUGUGAGUGAGUGUGUGGCCAGGGGCGGUCUGUUCUGGCUGUGAGUGAGUGUGUGGCCAGGGGUGGUCUGUUCUGGCUGCGAGUGAGUGUUGCCAGGGGUGGUCUGUUCUGGCUGUGAGUGGGUGUGUGGCCGGGGACAGUCUGUUCUGGCUGUGAGUAUUAUAUUACUGGGAGUAUUAUUGCUGUGGAGCUCUGUUAUACACACAGACACAUUACUGGGAGUAUUAUUACUGUGGAGCUAUGUUAUACACACAGACACAUUACUGGGAGUAUUAUUGCUGUGGAGCUUCGUUAUUCACUCAGACACAUUACUGGGAGUAUUAUUGCUGUGGAGCUCUGUUAUACACUCAGACACAUUACUGGGAGUAUUAUUGCUGUGGAGCUCUGUUAUACAUUCAGACACAUUACUGGGUGUAUUAUUGCUGUGGAGCUCUGUUACACACUCAGACACAUUACUGGGAGUAUUAUUGCUGUGGAGCUUCGUUAUACACUCAGACACAUUACUGGGAGUAUUAUUGCUGUGGAGCUCUGUUAUACACUCAGACACAUUACUGGGAGUAUUAUUGCUGUGGAGCUCUGUUAUACACUCAGACACAUUACUGGGAGUAUUAUUGCUGUGGAGCUCUGUUAUUCACUCAGACACAUUACUGGAAGUGUUAUUGCUGUGGGGCUCUGUUAUACACUCAGACACAUUACUGGGAGUAUUAUUGCUGUGGAGCUCUGUUAUACACUCAGACACAUUACUGGGAGUAUUAUUGCUGUGGAGCUCUGUUAUACACUCAGACACAUUACUGGGAGUAUUAUUGCUGUGGAGCUCUGUUAUACACUCAGACACAUUACUGGGAGUAUUAUUGCUGUGGGGCUCUGUUAUACACUCAGGCACAUUACUGGGAGUAUUAUUGCUGUGGAGCUCUGUUAUACACUCAGACACAUUACUGGGAGUAUUAUUGCUGGGGAGCUCUGUGAUACACUCCAACAAUGUGAAGCCCCUAGAAAAGAGGGACAUUAGGAGAGAAAAGAGGGACAGAAAGACUUGGGCUCAAAAUAGGGACUGUCCCUCCUGUAUAGGGACACUUAGAGGGAUGGCAUUGUUCUGACAGCAGCACAUUUUACUCCGAUAUCUUUGUGGUUCAGUUUGCUCAUUUCACUUACUGGCUUUGGAAUCUGCCUAUUGAGAGCUGGUAAAUGUGACUUUUAGAGGAAUUUGUACAAUGCAUUGAUUUUAUGAUGAGCGUUAAAUAAAACUAUUUUUUUGUUUUGCAGAUAGAUUUGUGACCCCAGCCCUUUUGAUUGCAAUGAGAUUGAGCCUCCUGGCCUAAUAUUACCUCACUGCUAGAAUUAGAGUCAAUUAAUUACAGUAUCCCUUAGAAACCGCGGGAAUUACUAACUGAUGCUCUUAAUUCCAGCCAUUAAAUACCCAAGAGUAUCUGCAAAGAGAAAACACGGGGAUACGUGCAAGCCUCGCGUUAUAAGCCAGCCGCACUAAUUCACACACUUUACCAUCAUGCUUUGCUUAUGUGUAAAUACAAUGGGCAUCCGGAUAUAUAAAAAAAUCAAUAUUAUGGAAGGGGCAGAGGGAGAAUUUGGCCGGUAUUAAACAUUGCACGUGUUGGACAGAGGUUAAUGUCUGAGCUUUCACUGCAACUAUUUAACUAAAAAUAUCUGACGGUAAAUUACAAGAGGCUACUUGUUUAUGUCUCUAGAAUUGUGGGCUGUGAUGCAAAUGUAAUGAUAUAUCUAUAAAACGAUGUACCGUAUAUACUCGAGUAUAAGCCGACCCGAAUAUAAGUCGAGGCCCCUAAUUUUACCCCAAAAAACUGGGAAAAUGUAUUGACUCGAGUAUAAGACUAGGGUGGGAAAUGCAGCAGCUACUGGUAAAUUUCUAAAUAAAAUUAGAUCCUAAAAAAAUUAUAUUAAUUGAAUAUUUAUUUACAGUGUGUGUAUAUGAUGAAUGCAGUGUGUGUAUGAAUGCAGUGUGUGUAUGAGUGCGCAGUGUGUGUAUGAAUGCAGUGUGUGUAUAAAUGCAGUGUGUGUAUGAAUGCAGUGUGGACAAAAAAGUAAAUCUAUACUGUAUGAAAUACUAGUAUAGAUUAAAGGGGUAGCACAAAACAUACAACCUGUAGAUAAUACAAAAACCUCCUUCACAAGAUCUAAAAUAUAAGAAAAAUCACAUAAUAGUGAAGCAUGUACGAACAAUAUAUAAUUCACUCCCGGAGGUAGAGAACUUACAGGACCAAACUGUGGAUCUGUGCUUGUCUCCCUUCCGUAGGGUAUAUGAAUAACGAUUCUUCUCUCAGGAAGCUUGUAUAUACGGACCAAAGGUGUGGAUACAAGACACUCAAUCCUCAAAAGGAAAAGAGGUAUAUAGAGCAGUAUUGUAGAUAAAAAAUAAUUUAUUAAUACAAAUUGCACUUACAUCAAGUGAAGCUCAUAGCAGCAUGUCACCACUAGCAAGUGGUACCCAGGAGAAGGAAUCUCUCUGUAGCAGAAUGUAAACAUAUAUAUAUAAAAAAAUACUAAAAAACACACAUAAAAAAACAAAAAACAAAAAACAAAAUGCAGUGUGUGUAUGAGUGCGCAGUGUGUGUAUGAAUGCAGUGUGUGUAUGAGUGCGCAGUGUGUGUAUGAAUGCAGUGUGUGUAUGAGUGCAGUGUGUGUAUGAGUGCAGUGUGUGUAUGAAUGCAGUGUGUGUAUAAAUGCAGUGUGUGUAUGAGUGCAGUGUGUGUAUAAAUGCAGUGUUUGUAUGAGUGCAGUGUGUGUAUGAAUGCAGUGUGUGUGUAUAUGAGUGCAGUGUGUGUAUAUGAGUGCAGUGUGUGUGUGUGUUAUGCAGUGUGUGUUUGUGUUGCAGAGCCUUGGUGGGGGGUGGGCAUUUUUAUAAAAAAAAAUAAUUAUUAUUUUAAUUUUUUUUUGUUAUAUUAUUAUUUUUUUUAUUUUUUUUUAUUAUUAUUUUUAUUAUUAUUUAUUUAUUUUUUGUCCCCCCUCCCUGCUUGAUACAUGGCAGGGAGGGGGGCUCUCCUUCCUUGGUGGUCCAUUGGCAGUUCAGUGGGGGGAGGAGGGGGGCUGGCAGAGCUGUUACUUACCUCUCCUGCAGCUCCUGCCAGCUCCCUCCUCCUCCGCGCCGGUUCGUGCAGCUCUUCUCUCAGCUCACACUGUAAGUCUCGCGAGAGCCGCACUAUGACCCUGCGGCUCUCGCGAGACUUACACUGGGAGCUGACUGAGGUGCUGACCGGACCGGCGCGGAGGAGCAGGGAGCUGACAGGAGCUGCAGGAGAGGCAAGUAACAGCUCUGCCAGCCCCAGUCUGUAUUAUGGCAAUGUAAAUUAAUGUAAGUUGCCAUAAUACAGACAGUGACUCGAGUAUAAGCCGAGUUGGGGUUUUUCAGCACAAAAAAUGUGCCGAAAAACUCGGCUUAUACUCGAGUAUAUACGGUAUUCUUAGCUAGCUGUACCUACUGCGUGUGACAAUCUAGCCACUUUCAGGCACUCACGGGCAGAGCUAGGUGGUAAAAUCAGAAUUGUCCGUAGUUCAAAUUUUAGAUCAAUAUAGCGGAAUUGGGUUACAUUUUCCAAAUCUGCUACUUUGGCCUUGCAUUUGAAAUCCCCUUUAGUUUAUGUAUGUACGUAAUGGGCAAUCGCAAUGCAGCAUAAUAACAUAAACUGACCCAAGGCAACCCCAAAAUAAUGACAGACAACGUAUUAUGGAUGAAACAGGCCACAGCAUUUAUUAUAACAUAUGAUAAUUACUGUAUAACACAUCCAUAAUUUAUUUAAUAAUCUCUCUUCUUUUCUGUAACCAAAACGUUAAACAUAAAUAACCAUAAGUUAAGAUAUAUAACUUAACACAUAGCGUCAUACGGUGUAACCCAACCGUCCUUGCCAAUAACUGACCAUGCGCCUAUGUACCACUUCUUCUCACAUCCCCCCUCAGCAUAAACUCCUUUUCCUUCCAAUGCUUACCACCAGCUGACCUUUUCCUCGCUCGGUGGGCACGACACCCCAGGUAACCUAAUGUUAACCCUUUAGAGCAGGGGAGGUUGAGACCUGAAACUUGUUCACUUCAUUCCACAUAAUUAACGUAACCACCUCAAACUUAAUUGGCAAGGACCCCCGGCUAGCUAUGACGGAAAAAAAACAAUAGGGAGGGAAGCUGUUUGCUGGUCCGAAUGCCAAGUGGCACUGAGGUAAGACCACCCCCACACUAACUCACAUAGAACAUUAUCCCACCCACACACACUCUUUCCCAACCAAUCCCAUGCAUCUAUCCCCACACUCCUACAUGUGCCCUUGUCCGCUUAGCUGCGCUAUCUCCCCAGGGCCUGGACAAUUGUCACUUUACAAAGAACCUUGAAAGUAAAAUUUGUUAAAUAUUUUUUUUACAGUGGAGGUUAAGAUGAUGUUGUAUAAUCUCUAACACAUUCUUCCACUUCAACAUGUCUGCAAAAUAUUGAGAAAAGGGUUAAACACAAAUGCAAUGAAUUGAAUUUAUAAAAUACAUAAAUUAUAGAUAAAUUCACGUGUGAAAUGCCAGUUUACACUUUUUUGCCCCAGGAAGUCUACAUUAUACAGCGCACAAGUAGCAAGAUUAUUGUCGGCAGUGGGUUUUCUGGUUACUGACCAGGAUUUGAUCUCCAGCUGAUUUGUAAAGUGCUGAAACACUACAAUGUCAAUCAGAAUAGAACUUCCAGAUUGAUUUAAUGCCAGACCUCACAUUCUCUCACUAACAAGCAGCAUUUUUAGAAGCAGGUAAACAUCGUAACUUUUACCGCAAUAUUUGAACCUAUGUCUGUCUGCUAUUUCAUAUAAAAUCUAAUUACUGCUUCCUUGAUUUUUUGGGGGGUGCUUUGAUAAAUAUAUUUUUUUCAAAACUGACAGUUUAAAACAAAGGUUUACAUUUUUUAUACUUAUGACCACGGGUACUGGCUGCUUGCAGUGCUGAUAGUAUUUCAUAAUAGCCCCCUCUGACAAAGUUAAACUAUGAGAAACAGCAGGCUGUCUCUGUAACUGCAAUAUUUUACAUUGCAGGGCUAAUGACAGGGACAUUGCUGCCACACCACUUCAAUAAGAUGAAGCAUUUUGGGUGCCUAUAGUGACCCUUUAAAUGUACUGUCAAAGUUCGUGUUUUUUUAUGUACUUUAAAAUAAAAAUAUGCAUUACACAGAGAUAGGUGUAAGUAGUUACCUAAAUGGGAGACAACAGAGAUUAUUCGGUCCUAUUAUGAUGUGGUCAACCACGUUAGCAAGCUUGAAAAUUCACGGAUCCCUUGUUGCAGUAUUCUCUGUUUCAAUGGGAAAAGUUAAAGGUAACAUUCUAACUAAAUCAAAAAGCUAAACAUAUUUUAAUUGCUGUGAUAGCUAACAUGUAACAAUGCAUUUAUAAACAUCCUAAAACCAUAUAUCCCGCGUACCUGUAAUAGGUAAUAUUUGUAAAGAGCCGGCAUGUGAUGCAAUCGUAUAAAAUAUUAAUCAGGUUUAUGCACCAUGUGGUCACACAGUUAUGUGAAACUUGGAGAAUUCUCUUGGAUUGAAAUGCAGUUCAAUCAACUGUUCUGCAGAAUUCCUAAAUUCUCAGCUGAAAUAUUCCUGAUCUAAGGACUAACUGAACCACACAAUGCCAAACAUGUCAAUAUUCUGAAUUCGGCCAAAGGAUGAGAUAAUUGAUUCAGAAAAGAAUGACUGAAGACAAGGGGACCGCCACUAAAUCUUAAUUUUAUUUACAGAUAAGUUAGAACAAUACAGGAAAACACAGGAGGGGCAGUAAAAGUAUAUAUUUCUCCAUUUAAUAAUUAUAUCAUCUAUAUUUAUUUUACUGUUUGUGGUAACAUGUGAGCAGGCAGGACUGGGAUGUUAGUUAGAAGGUAGUUUACAAAUGGUGGUAAAAGUGUAGAGAAUACUAUGUUUGCAUUACACAAGCAGCGGGGGGCUAUACCGGAUAGAAUGAGCUGUCUGUUAGCUGUUUCCAAACUGCCUCUGUUUAAACUGCAGCUUUAGACAAAAUCGGCAGCCCCUAAGAUUUAUAUAUUGACUUAUUUACUAAGCAAUUAACUGAAAUCAAAAUUGCAAAACUGAGCUUAAAAUGUGGUGAUUAUGGCCACAUGGCAAAAUUUUUCAAAAAUCAUCCAUAUUGACAUGAAUUGUGUAAUCUGGGGUUCAGAUGGCUACAAAUCACUGUUUAAUCAAUAACCCUGUAGGUUUGUUUGAUUCUUCAAAUCACCUGGUUUUAUUGUAUCUAUUUUGGCUUCAACUUCCCUGUGUAUUCCCAAAAAUUCAGGUACUAGUGACUAAUCAUGGAAUGAUAUCAUGGUCAAUAUAUAAUCAUGGUGUUAUAUUUGGCCUUUUUUUACAUUGUGAUUGGUUUCAUAUUUUGGGGUACUCAUCCUAUAGUUCAUAUAUACCAUAUUUUAUAUCCGUAUUAUUUAUGUUGACAUUUUAAGAAUUAUUCCAGCUAAAAAUAAAGGUGUCACUAGAAUUGUCCCAACAAUGUUUAAAUUCUGGCCAAACCACAGUCCGCUGUAACUAAACUCGCCCAUCAGUCUCUAUUCUAAAUGGUGUUCACGUUAUUAUAAAGCGUAUUGUUUUAUCGAGUUACACAUUACAGGGUCUCUGUAUAUUGUCACAUAUUAAAUCAAUGCUGAAAUUCACACACCAGAAUGAUGACAUAAAAAAAACACAGACUCUCCCCGGCCGCCUCAAACCUAAUAAUCAUUUAUUUCCUCGCUGCAAACUCUAUCUCAUGUUUAGGAAACAACCAGCGAAAUCCCAGCUGGCCAAAUUAGCCACAACGCAAAACUGCGCGCGCAGCUACAGAUCACAGUUUGGUUAUUAAGGAGUAUAUGUAGUUGCUGGGACACAGGACAGAAAUGAAUUUUAUCGAAUCCGGCUACUCGAUCUACAAAGGAAAUCUAUUCCUUGUUAUCUAACAAUCAUUAAAGCAAUGUAUAUUCCAGUUUGUGAGGGCAAUGUACCAUUCAAGUUGCCUUUGAUAAACACAUAGUAUCUCUGCUUGUAAGAUUUGCUAAGACUGGAAAUUGGAGUAAAAACACAGUAUACAUUGGUAGCAAAAUAUUAUUUUUAAAAUAAUAAUAUAAAAUAAUUGGGUAAGUAUAAAAACGUUUACUUUAUUAUUACUUCUGAUGAAGCCUUGAAAGGAGAAACACAUUAAGUGUGGUCCUGAUAGUUUAUUGAACUUUUUUUUUAUUUUUAUAUGUUUUAAAAAUUUGAAAAAUAAAUUAAUACAUAACUGCUAUGUUCCUGUUUUGCUUCCAGAAAUCUGCAAUAUCCUUAGGUGUGGAUUAUACCACCCAAACCUUAUACCACAAGAGCAAGUCCU
This 51901-nucleotide long non-coding RNA is filed under the name Pelobates cultripes (western spadefoot toad). The record is from RNAcentral. Lineage: Eukaryota; Metazoa; Chordata; Amphibia; Anura; Pelobatidae.